This 58114-nucleotide long non-coding RNA is filed under the name Hordeum vulgare. RNAcentral's name for it is "long non-coding RNA (HVUL_LNC011952)". The record is from RNAcentral. Lineage: Eukaryota; Viridiplantae; Streptophyta; Magnoliopsida; Poales; Poaceae.
UGCCCAGGUCAUACACGAUUAUUCAUCAGGUUGGACACAAGCUAAGCUGCUUUCCUUCUGGAGAGUAAUUUGAAAAACUGUUCAAAGGCAGGGUAGAAUGAUCAUCCUUCGUGAUACACUAAACUGGAAACAAAAAACUCAGCUCGAUGCAUUUACAUGGACAGAAAUCGAAGUAUGUAACGGGUGAAGCUACCAUCAUGCCUCCAGGUCGUUCAGGUUUCUCGGAACUUUGACAAAAAGUUUUGAAACGAAGAGAAACCUUCCAUCGCAUCGUGCGGCAUGUUAAGCGUGAAAGGGGGAAGAACACUCGGACCAGCCUUCAGGUUCUUCGGGCCAGCGGCUGACGGUAGCGCAAGUGCAGGCUGCUGUCUGUUGAGCUUUUCUAUGAUGUACGAGAAAGUUCCAAAAGCCAGGCAGCUCUGAAUCAGAGUUUGCGGUGCACCUGCAACAGACAGCAGAAAAUAUGGUACUGAGGUGAUCGAUACAUAUGAAGCAGUUUAUUUAUGCUACAGGAGCAAAAAUAGAAACAUUAACUCCUGCCCCACUCCCUACAAAAAGCAAAGAGAGAAGUUGUAUUCUCAGCACAAAUGAUGAUCCAAACUAACCCCUUUGAUUAUACGAUUUUGGUUAGUAGAAUCUACAUUUCUACGAUCCUAAUAGUUAAGAUUCUACCACUGGUGAUCACUGGUGGAGCUACAGUGGAUUUCUUGGGCGGCCCAACCUGAAGAAGAAACCAUAAGAGAUGGGCCAGGCCACUUGGCAAGCUAGUUAGGCAGUUUUUCAGCUAGGCAGGGCGGGCCAGAGCACAGGUUCGCCCCAACGUAGCUCUGAUCCGAUUCAAAAUAACGAUUUUGACAACCUUGUCGAGCGACCAAGCGGAACGCUCGUUUCAGCAUCUCUCCCUCUCUCGAUCCGCGACGACGGCAAAGCACUCCCACCUCUCCCUCUCCGGCAACGGCUGUCCUAGCCUCCCCCCACUUCUGUCCUCUGAUGGCAUGCAGCAGCAGCGGGCAGCCAGGUACAAGCUGGGUGACGAUCAAGCAGCUGGACGGCGGCUGUAGCGGACAGCUUGGGCAGAGCGGAGGCAGUAGAAGGAGCAGAAGGAGCAGCAGCUCAUGGGCUGUGGCUGGUAGUUGCAGGUGGCGGCCUCACAUGCUGGGCGGCGGCCAGGCGCUGCACGUCUCGAUUUGUUGAGCGACACAACAUGAGGAAUUGGCAGGCGGUGGCUACACCACAGAAGAGCAGGCUCUGCUCCAUUGUCCACUCUCCCUUGUGCGUUUGCUAGACUAGUGAUAAUCACCUAAAUGGAAAUUGUACAUGCUUUUUCUUGCCUUUUGCAACUACAGAAAAUUUGUGCAUGUUGUGGACCAUUUAUUGAUGAUUCUUUCUAAAUUUGUUAGUAAAAUAUGAUUGUGUAAGACUAUUGAUGUUAUUUAUUUGACAUGAUUGUGAUGCAAAAUAUAAAUUAUUGGUGAACAAAAAAUAAAUAAAACAUUGUUUUGAAAUUAAAUAAAGUGAUUCCGAAAAUACAAUUAAUGUUGCAUAUAUAGCCAGAAAAGCAAAACACUAAUCUGAACAUUUCUCAUUAUUCCAUUCCAUCAACCAAACACUGAGAUGUAACUGUUUCAUUCCACCUCAUUAUUCAUACGAAACACAAAGAUGGAACCAUUACAUUCCAUUCCACUUGGUUCUUCAACCAAACACACCCUCAGUGUCUUUGGCGGCACGGCUGGCUUCUGGGCGAUAGGGCAUGCUCGUGGCGGCCAUGGCGGCGACCUAUGUUNGAUAUGGCGUCCAGCGGAGGCUAGCGGCGCGUGUCGAUGGCUUCUGUUGUGCCUAAGACGGCAAUGGCUGGCGACAAUGGUGGCCCAACAGUGCUCGGUCACGACAGCUGCCAAGGCUUCGCCUUUCUCUAUGGGCACGUAGGGCGUGUGAGAUGGUGGCCCUAGGCAGGUUACGGUGGGGGUGGCGACAGUGUGGGGUCCUAAAGGAGGAUGCGGCCGGCGAUGCCGAGGCUGCCCGAAGACCGAAAGUGUCGGUUCCUGGGCAGCUCCCUAUUGAGAUCUGGAGGAGCCAAAUCUUGAAGGAGCACUAGCUGCCGAUCCGUCCAGAGGUUUUGCAGGCAGGUGGCUGGCGCGCGAGCCGAGGUGCAGGGUUUGGGUAUCCCACCCCCCUCAUGGACGGGCAGUUCGUUGGGCAGCCAUGGCGGCGGUGCUGCCCGGCUAUGGCCGUUGGCCUUGUGGUGGGACCCCGAGGGCAGGUGUCUUCUUCCCUUCGGUCGGCGACGGCCACAUGCUAUGCCGUCGGUGAGAGGUUCGGAUAGGGAUGUCGAGGCGGUGGCCUCAGGUGGCGGGCUACUCGAUAGGCUCUCGACGGGUGUACGGGUGUACGGGUGGCACAGUGGUGGUUGUGCUUCUUGGUCAUGUGGGUGGCGAGAGGUGUUGUGGUGGGUGGCAUUGGUGUCUUCUCUGUUGUGGCAGCGAAGGUGCGCAGAUCUGGUCAUGGAGAUCCCGGCUUCGUAGCAGCGGUUGACUUCGUUACUUCUUUGUGGCUCAGGGUAACAACCGGGUGAAAGCUCUGCGCUUCGUCCCCGGCAGAGACGGCGUCCAUGGGUGCUACUUUCCUCUUGAGGAUGUUGUCGCAGUUUCCCCUACCAGGUUUCUGAGUGAAAACAUUUGUUUGUUCCGUCGGCAACGGCGAUGAAUUGUGCCAUUUCCCUCUUGAGAGUGCCUUAUCUUUGGUUGUGGCGUGGUGUUGUCUUCACGCCCUUUUGUAUUCUUGCUCAUCUUCGUCGUGUCUUCCCAUCCGAUGUGUGUUGUCCAUUUUUUUUUCUAUUUUCUACUUUGUUUGAGGGCUUCCUCACCAUCAUGUAUCGUUCAACCAUGUACUUGUGGUUCGUGCUUUACCAUCCAUGCCAGCAAUUGUGCAUCCAUAAAUGGAACCAAGGGGGUAAGGCAAAUCAAGGAGACAAAAUAAAAAUCUAUGACAUCAAAACUGUAAGAACUAAGAAAAUGUGUCAUGUAACACCAAACUAAUUCGGAAAUCAUUAGCAAUAUGCGGUAAACCACAAGAGAGUACAGAAGCAAGUGUACAACUGAUGGAGAACUCAAAACGAUCAACUUUUUAGCCAUAAAACUUGCAACUGAUGCCAGAUAUCUAACCAUGACCUAAAAGGCUAUGCGUGCUUUCAAAACAAAUCACAAGUCCAGAAACCACCAUGACACUAGCACACGUUUGCAGCCAACACUGGGGUUGCCAACCAGGUAAAUUUUUUAUCCAAAUAACCUACACUAGGCAACUAGAAUAAUACAGGCAAAUCAUUUUCACUCUUACUGUUAAACUACAUUAAACUAUGUCAAAACCAUGGUCUUUGGGCAAGGUAUCCAGGAACAACGUUAAAUUUAGAUAGUUCCAGCUAUUAAUUGCAUUGCUAUAACUUUACCUGGAAAACUCAAAGCAAGGCCAGUGCAACAGCCUGCAACUCCUGCAUUAAUAACUGUAGACAAAAGAUCCACAAGUCAAUGGUCAUCCUUGUCAUUUUAUACACCCUAAGUACUUCAAAAAAGGUAGCAGAAUAGCAGCACAAUCUUAAAGGGGGCAUCAAAGACAGACCGUCAUCUUUUCCACGUAGCUUUCUCAAAGAGCAAGAAACCAAACUUUGAACGCCGGCAAGAACAGCAAAUAUCUAGAACAACAGACAAAAUUCUCAAUGUGAUGGUUAACAGAGAAAAGUCUAUUCCAAACGAAAUGAACAUUGGUAUCCAAUUAAUGAAAUAUGUAUCAUCAUACCUUAGCAGAAGAGGCAGCGUCAGCAAAUGAGCCUUUAAACCCUUUUGUGGUAACCAAACCUUUUCCUAAAAAAUCACCAGAUAUAGUUAACAUAACAAAGAGAUAAUUGUUGUGUUUUGAAUAGAAGGAUGACACACAGCAGGGCAGCCUGACAUAACGUAUACCAAACAAAAAUAUUGUGCACAAUGAACACACAAGGCUGAACCAAUUCAAAUUUACAGGUAGCAUUAAAUGAUUGAAUUGAUUUGACAUGACCACCAGAUCCACUACCAUAUUCCAUAAAAGAUCUACAUUGUUAUAUUCAAGGUGGUAAUGGACGUAACCAGAUAGGCUAUUUUUGUUAUCCGCAAAUUAAGGUGGCAUUUAGUUGGUGAUUGGUUCACUUUGCCUCAGCCUGACUGUCAGUGGUGGAGUGCACAAAGCAGCAAUUGGUUUCUUUAUACAAAAUUAGAGCAGUGAUUAAGUAUCACCCAUGCAUGUUGAGCAACUUAACAUGAUAACAGACACCGCGAAGCUCCAUACGUGCCUCCUUUACUAAGAAAGACCCUGCAUGAGAAUGCAAUGUCGGGAGCAUCUAAUCUACCAAUUAAUCACCAGGUCUAGGUAAAACAGAUUUGACAAUUGACAUGCUUUGGAUUUUGGGCAUCCAAAAACUUCUUUGGAUGACAAUGAGACGCAAAAUCCAAAAAUUGGAUUCUAAAAUUAGGCGUAUGCUUGAACCUAUUUCUGUGCCAAACCACUGGUAACAGAUUAGCAACCAAGAACGGAGCUAGGUGUGUAACUCCAUUGUCUCUUUGUGUGUUGCUUUUACUUUAGUUCUUAGUCCACAACAGGUUGUAUGAACACACCACAAACACACAGUAAACAUACGAGUUGAGUAUGUUUGUAUGAGCCAAAAGAAAGUUCUCUACCAAAUUUUCUGAGAAAACCCGCACAUGUUCUGUAACAUUUUCUUUCAUUUGGCAGCAUUAGCAAGUAAUUUCCCCCCCCCCAUUUUAUCCUUUUGCAAGGAAUAAACACACACUGCAGCUUCCAGAUAGGUACGUAUGCAUGCAGUCAGGCCUUGAAUCAAGUAAACGGAGCAAAAACAAUUUGGUUUUACCAACAUUUCUGAGAAACUUCGCACAUGUUUCAAUCUCAGUAAGCACGUGCUUUUUCACGAGGAAUAAUUAUGCGGUUAACUGUAAAAUCCAUCAAUAAUCUGCUCCAUAAUCCUUGGUGCCAGUGUCACACAAAUUAAACAAAAUUGCUACAAGUUCAACUAUCCUGAAUAUGUAACUGUAAUCAGCUGCAUGAAACCCAAACAACACACCAUGUGCUGCAAUUGAGCCUUAUCUCCUAAAUGUCCUCAACACUGGCACAGUAUACUGCGAAUCUAACAAAGAAAAACCAUAAUCAAUGCCUUAUGAAUGACACUACCCAUAGACCGUGUGAACAAUCAGUACUAAGAGCUCAAUUGCACACCCCAGAUUAGACGAACACCUUAAGACACAACCUUAUGGAAUAUAAUCAAAUCUGAUCUCCUGCCAGUCAAAAACCUUAUCAAAUUACGAGAGGCCUAAAAUAGAAAGGGAGCCAGCCAGGACCAAAGAUCGCAGAGCCCUAACCCUAACGGACGUGUCGAGCCGAACGAGGAGGUGGAGGGGACGGCGGUGUUACCAUAUCCAACGACGGCUCCGACGAGGGAACCGGCGGCCGACUCCCAGGCGAAGCGGAGGAGGCAGACCCCAGGNNNNNNNNNNNNNNNNNNNNNNNNNNNNNNNNNNNNNNNNNNNNNNNNNNNNNNNNNNNNNNNNNNNNNNNNNNNNNNNNNNNNNNNNNNNNNNNNNNNNNNNNNNNNNNNNNNNNNNNNNNNNNNNNNNNNNNNNNNNNNNNNNNNNNNNNNNNNNNNNNNNNNNNNNNNNNNNNNNNNNNNNNNNNNNNNNNNNNNNNNNNNNNNNNNNNNNNNNNNNNNNNNNNNNNNNNNNNNNNNNNNNNNNNNNNNNGACUUCAAUGAUUGCCGUAAAAGAUAGCGCGUGAGAGCCCCAUACCUGACCAAACGAGCCGGCCCGACACGGCCCAUGGUAAUCGGGCCUGGCACGGCACGGCCCGUCCAGGCACGUUUAUUAAUCGGGUCGUGUCGUGUCAGCCCGUGGGCUGCGCCUCUAGGCCUGUAAGAUUUGAGAGAGAGAGGUUUUGGAUCAGCACACUUUAUUCAAUCUAAACCAUGAUGUCUAACAGAAAACCCUAAGGAGGUAGUCAGCGGCAGCAAUCGUGCGAGGUGGGUUAGUGCUGGGUUAUCGAUUCCGAGGCAUGCGGACGUGCAUGCGUGCUGGGUCAUCGCCAUGCAUGGGCUUGCUUGAGGGCCAAGUCGGCCGACGCCAUGGGCUGUAGUGAGGUCUAUUCCAAAACCACCCCUCCCCCCCCCCGCCCGCAGUCGAUGCCUCGCUGUCGGAGAUGCAUAGACCGGAGCGGAAUUCCCGAAACAUCGACGGUGGAAGCCCCUUGGUCAUGACGUCGGCGAACUGUUGAGCCGUAGGUACGUGAAGAACACGGACAUGCCCCAGCGCCACCUUCUCGCGGACGAAAUGGAUGUCGAGCUCGAUGUGCUUGGUGCGACGGUGAUGGAUGGCAGAGAGGUACACCGCCGAGACAUUGUCGCAGUAGACUACCGUGGCUUUGGCGACGCCGCAUUGUAGCUCAGUUAAGAGCUGACGCAGCCACGAGCACUCGGCAACCGCAUUGGCAACGGCAGGGUACUCGGCCUCCGCGCUAGAGCGGGACACGGUGGGUUGCCGUUUGGACGACCACGACACCAGCGAAGGCCCCAUGUAGAUGCAGUAGCCAGAGGUGGAGCGGCGAGUGUCGGGGCAGCCGACCCAGUCGGCGUCGGAGUAGGCGACGAUGUCGAGCGACGAGGAGGCGCAGAGAGAGAGCCCAAGCGAGGGCGACCCGUGGAUGUACCUCAAGAUGCGCUUCACCAAUGUCCGGUGAACGUCACACGGAGCAUGCAUUGUGGAGGCAGACUUGUUGCACCGCGUACUCGAGAUCGGGCCUCGUCAGUGUCAGGUACUGGAGGGCGCCGACGAUGCUGCGGUAGAAGGAGGCAUCGGAGAAGGGGACGCCAGCCUGCCCUAAGACCUUGCCCGAGGUGUCGAUGGGGGUAGAUGCUGGCUUACAGUUGAUCAUGCCGGCGCAGUCCAGCAGUUCGAGGGCGUACUUCUUCUGGCAGAGGAAGAAGCCAUCGGAGCGGCGCGUGACCUCCACGCCCAGGAAGUAAUGGAGCGCGCCAAGGUCCUUCAGGGCGAACUCGCAUUGAAGGAGACCGACGACGCGACGGAGGAGAGCGUCGGUGGAGGCCGUCAAGACAAUGUCAUCGACGUACAGCAGAAGGUACACCAUGUCAGUGCCACGGCGGUAGACGAACAACGAUGCGUCGGACCUGGUGAUGACGAAGCCGACACGGACCAGGAACGCGGUAAUGCGUUGGUACCAGGCGCAGGGAGCGUGCUUGAUGCCGUAGAGGGACCGAGAGAGCAGGCAGACGUCGUCGGGGCGCGCAGGGUCGACGAAGCCAGCCGGCUGCUGGCAGAAAACUUGCUCCGUCAGGUGCCCGUGCAAGAAGGCGUUGGAGACGUCGAGUUGAUGGACGACCCAGCGGCGCGAGUAGGCGAGCUGAAGGACACAAUGACUCGUGCCCGGCUUCACGACGGGGGCGAAAGUCUCGGUGAAGUCGUGUCACGCCCAAGAUGCGACCCUAUCCUCAAUUUGGCACGAGGGCCUCGUCAGGGAUAGAAGCGCAUCUCGUCGUGUCGCAAGAAUGGAUAUCGUUACAAGUACAUGUACUAAAAGGAAGAGAUAUAUAAUAGAAUUGGCUUACACUUGCCACAAGCUACAUCAGAGUCACAUCAGUACAUUACAUAUUCAUCAUGAAGAAGAGCAGGGUCCGACUACGGACGAAAACAAACGAGAAAAGAAGAACGGCGUCCAUCCUUGCUACCCCAGGUUGCCGGCCUGGAACCCAUCCUAGAUCGAUGAAGAAGNNNNNNNNNNNNNNNNNNNNNNNNNNNNNNNNNNNNNNNNNNNNNNNNNNNNCCUUUACCUGUAUCUGCAACUGGUGUUGUAGUAAUCUGUGAGCCACAUGGGACUCAGCAAUCUCAUUUCCAAAGGUAUCAAGACUAGCAAAGCUUAAUGGGUGAGGUAAGGUUAAGUGGUGAGGUUGCAGCAGCGGAUAAGCAUAUAUUUGGUGCCUAAACUUACGAGUACAAGAAAUAAGAGGGGGAAGAUCUACGCAUAACGGACGUGAACUACUGGUGAUCAAAGGAAUGAUCCUGAGCACCUACCUACGUCAGACAUAACCCCACCGUGUCCUCGAUCGGAGUAAGAACUCACGAAAGAGACAGUCACGGUUACGCACCUAGUUGGCAUGUUUUAAUUAAGUUAUCUUCAAGUUAUCUAGAACCAGUGUUAAACAAAGCUUCCACGUUGCCACAUAACCGCGGGCACGGCUUUCGGAAAGAUUCAACCCUGCAGGGGUGCUCCAACUAGUCCAUCACAAAUUACCACAAGCCGCAUAGAAAUCCUCAAUCACGAAGCUCGCGAUCUCGUCGGAUUUCCUAGUGGAAAACCUCAACUCUGAGAUUACCCAAAGCAUCACCGGAAUCCCGAUGCACAAGAUAUCUCGUCAAAGGUAAAACUAAUCCAGCAAGGCCACCCGCGCGUGUCGACGAUCCCGAUAGGAGCCGCGUAUCUCGUUCUCAGGACACGAUGGAUGAGCGACGCGUACGGUGGCCUGAUAGAAAUCACCCAAGUUUCCCUGGGUUGGCCCCGCACAGUGCUCUGUUUUGGACCAGCACCAUCAGCACUGGCCCUCCCUGUAUUAUGUAGAAUUACUCCUCGGGUUCAUGACGCCCUAUGCUUUCAGUAUUAACAAAAUUAUUAUGUUGGGAAAAUGUAGUACCAAUGUUGGGCCUUGCCAGACCAGCUUUAAUCUAAAACGAAUUAUCAAGGGGGUCCCCAUAACAACCCCCAUCGUGUUAGGAGCGCUCAAUUAUGGAACAUAACACCGGUAGCCGAAACUAAGGGGGCAAAGGUGGAACAAAACACCAGGCUAGAAAGGCCGAGCCUUCCACCUUUUACCAAGUAUAUAGGUCCAUUAAAUUAAAUAGCAUUAAUAUGGUGAUAUGACAAGGAACUCAUGUUUUCACAUGGAAGCAACUACACCUGCAACUAGCAACGCUAACAACAUGGUUAAGCAAGCAGUAGCAUAGCCAAUCAGUGGUUUGCUAGGUUGAACAAGUUGAAGGUUUCAUGGCAUUGUUGAGAGGCUGAUAUUUAACAUGUGGUAGGCAACGAGACAUAAUCGAUAGAAGCGGUAAAACUAGCAUGGCAAUGAUAGUAAUGGUAUCCGGGGAAAUGGUCAUCUUGCCUGAGAUCCCACUUGGAAGAAGAACAACUCCGUGAAGUCGGCGAACCAAUGUGGUCAGACGGGUCCUCACAUUCCGACACGCUUGCGGAACUCUAUUGAGACGGAGCAAACCGGAAACAAACAUCAACACAGAUAUUCACCACACGAUGCACAACAUGAUGCAUACCCAAUAUGAUGCAUGGACGCCCAACCCCUAAUGAUGCACUUAAACCAUCCUACAUCGGUAAACAGGUGCCACAUCAUCAUGAAGUGACACCUCAGCAGGACUGCCCAAAACUGGAAACUACUAACUCCAUUGGAUUCCUUGGGUUCUCCUCCCCCAAAUCUAUAUACUACACUCCUAUAUAUGCAUGCAGAAAAACACCAGAAACAGCAAAGGAAAAACUACACAAGAUCAAACUCUGCUAACAACAAGAACAGGGGUUGUUCUUGAUAUGCCAGAUUUGGCAUAUACCUCUUCUGAAAUAUCCAGAUAUGGAAAUACAUCACAACACCAAUCAACAAAAUUAUAUAAUCGUCAGGGGGUCCCACUGGUCAUACUCACCAGGGCCCCUAGUAAGGCAUGUGGGCUCUGGACCCACUGACAGAGGCACACUACAACAAGCAACUAAAAACACAAGGGAAAAAACUAACAUGGGAGUAGGGGGACUCGAACCCACUACCUUCUUGCAAGACAACAGGGCAAUCACCACUGAGCUAGGCUCGGAUCACUGCCCUAACAAGGGGAGUAACCCACCUAUGCUACACGUGCAGACAACGCAACAAAUUGAAACAAAAACCCAAAUAAGAGGACGCGCGAGGGGCUCGAACCCUCGACCUACUGGCGCUGCAGUGGCUCGGUUGCCACUACGAUGGUGAAGUAUAACUGCUAGAACAAGGGAAGAAAUGCACAUAUGCAGGCUCUGCUAGCUAGCACAGGAGAACAAAAAUCGUAGAGAAUAAAAGGGGGGCGCUGGGUCUCGAACCCGAGACGUUGAGAACGAAAACAUGCUCGAUGCCACUGCGCUACCGUGGGGAUUCUGCCUAAGAAGGGAGCAAAGCAGAUCUAAAAGAAAACAUGGGGCGUCGCUGGAGCAGGGAGACGCCGGCGACGACGACGCGCGCCAGAGCCACUCGCCUGCAGGCGCAUACGACGCACAACCACGCGAUGCGCUACGUCCCUCGCGUCACUACAUAGCAGGCGCGGAACCUACGCCUAUAAGACGCAUGCACGCAGAGCUGCGGAAACUAGCGCAUCCUGCCGGUGCAACUCCGACAGGGCGGCGCCCACGCGCAACAUCGGCGACCUACUGCAGAGAGGGAAACGAAGGGGGGAUAGAGCUGCGCUCACCCAGGGUGCAGAGAGAGGGCUCGCGGGAGGGGAGACACGCCGCGCGACGACGUCCUGCUGCAGAGAACUCGUCGGAGAGGAAGAAGGACCAUCCGCCGAGGAGGUCGAGGCCGUCGUCCUUGGCGCUAGCUGCCCGUGGGAAUGGAACUCCAUGGGCGCCCGCGAGCUCCUGGUCCAGGAGGGGGAAGAAGGGGGCGUCGGGCUACCACGCAUCAGGCACUUGCCCGAGCCGGCCAUGGUGCGGUGGAGCUCGGGAACUCGCCCCGACGGCGCUAGGAGGGANGACGAGGGUUAGGGUUUCAGAGAGUCCGAGGCUGCUAAGUAUCUCGCACCACCCGCUCGGGGCCGUCUGAUCGAGGGAAGAAACGAUCUAUGGUGGUCAGGGGGUUCGUACGUGCUGACAUGAUCGAGGAGGAAGAAGCUGCCGCCAGCCAGGCCUGGGCUGAUUGCACUCACCUGGGCCUGGUGCUCCCUCUCUCACUGAGAAGGCCUACCUAAUAAAACAUUACAGCGAAAAUCAAACCACACGGGCUAAAGGAAAAUAGUUUUGGUGGAAACAAAAAUAUAACUGGGCUUUUAAAAUGUUGCCACUGUUUAUAAAAAUAAGUGGAACAUUUUUAGAAGUCCAAAAUUAUAUUCAUCUAAUUUAAAUGGGCUUUGAUUUUUUAAAUAAGAUAAGAAGGAAAGUAAAGUAGAAACCAGAGGGGUUGCCUCCACAAAAUGAAAAGGAUUUUUUUUAGGGAAAGAUGAACAUUUUUUUAAAUGGAGAAACAAAGCCUUUUAAACCUGCCACAAAUUAACAUAGAGAGAGAAGGGUUUUCUCCUUAUGGAGCAACAUGUGGGUUUUGACAUGCACUUGUUGCCCCCACACCUAAACAAUCACUAAGGACAUCAACACAACACUUGCACAUCACAACAAGGACACCCACAUCAACACAACCACAACAAAAGGGAAAGAAUGCAAUGCAAGAAGGCAUGAUGCACAUGAAAUGAUGACACAAAGUUAGGCUCACCCCACAUCACACCAACAUGCCAAGGUUGCCAUACAAGGAGGAUACAAAAGGGGAGGGGAGAUUGCACUUGGGCUGUCACAAGUCGAGACCAGCCCGUUGCCGGAAGCCGCGAACGACCCAGCUGCCAGGUGCGAUUCCUCAGUAGCGCGUCGUACUCGUCUUGCAUGACGGCGCGCCAGUGAGGGUCCCGGAGCGCCGAGUGGACGGACGCAGGGAGCGGCGAAGGAGCCGUCGUGGUGGCAGUGCAGACGUACUCGUUGGAGGAGUACCUCUGGCUGGGUCGAUGGACACCCGCGCGCGCACGGGUAAGCACUCCGAAGUGUACGGGGGCAGCAGGUGGGGCAGUUGAGGGAGAGGCCGGCCCCGUACUGGGCACGGGGGCAGCAGGUGGUGGAGGCGUCGUGCCGACAGGAGCGGGGCCCGGUGGUGCAGGAGACGGGGCCGAGACGCCCGGGGCAACUAGCGGAGAAGNNNNNNNNNNNNNNNNNNNNNNNNNNNNNNNNNNNNNNNNNNNNNNNNNNNNNNNNNNNNNNNNNNNNNNNNNNNNNNNNNNNNNNNNNNNNNNNNNNNNNNNNNNNNNNNNNNNNNNNNNNNNNNNNNNNNNNNNNNNNNNNNNNNNNNNNNNNNNNNNNNNNNNNNNNNNNNNNNNNNNNNNNNNNNNNNNNNNNNNNNNNNNNNNNNNNNNNNNNNNNNNNNNNNNNNNNNNNNNNNNNNNNNNNNNNNNNNNNNNNNNNNNNNNNNNNNNNNNNNNNNNNNNNNNNNNNNNNNNNNNNNNNNNNNNNNNNNNNNNNNNNNNNNNNNNNNNNNNNNNNNNNNNNNNNNNNNNNNNNNNNNNNNNNNNNNNNNNNNNNNNNNNNNNNNNNNNNNNNNNNNNNNNNNNNNNNNNNNNNNNNNNNNNNNNNNNNNNNNNNNNNNNNNNNNNNNNNNNNNNNNNNNNNNNNNNNNNNNNNNNNNNNNNNNNNNNNNNNNNNNNNNNNNNNNNNNNNNNNNNNNNNNNNNNNNNNNNNNNNNNNNNNNNNNNNNNNNNNNNNNNNNNNNNNNNNNNNNNNNNNNNNNNNNNNNNNNNNNNNNNNNNNNNNNNNNNNNNNNNNNNNNNNNNNNNNNNNNNNNNNNNNNNNNNNNNNNNNNNNNNNNNNNNNNNNNNNNNNNNNNNNNNNNNNNNNNNNNNNNNNNNNNNNNNNNNNNNNNNNNNNNNNNNNNNNNNNNNNNNNNNNNNNNNNNNNNNNNNNNNNNNNNNNNNNNNNNNNNNNNNNNNNNNNNNNNNNNNNNNNNNNNNNNNNNNNNNNNNNNNNNGGAGGCGAGCUGGAGACCUGUUGAAAGGGAAAAACAUACUCGUCAAAGUACACGUACCUGGAGAUGAGAACUCGCCCAGAUGCCGGAUCGAAGCAACGGAAACCCUUGGUAUUGGGGGGGGGGUAGCCGAAGAAUACGCAGAGAAUAGACUGGGGGCGAGUUUAUGUGGAGAAGUAGCGAGAAGAUUAGGAUAACAGAGGCAACCAAACACCCGGAGGUUGUCGUAGGAGGGUUGGUGACCAAAGAAGAGGUGAUCGGGAGUGAAUUGGCCACGAGCACGGUAGGGGCGCAGGUUGAGGGUGUGGGUGGCGCUGGAGAGAGCCUCGGUCCAGAACCGGGGCGGAACGGCGGCGUGAAGGAGCAGCGCACGAACAACGUCGUUGAGGGUACGAAGAGCACGUUCGGCACGCCCAUUUUGCUGGGAUGUAUACGGGCAUGUAAGGCGGAGGAUGGAACCGUGCGCGGAAAGCAAAGAGUGGAUGCCAUGGUUGUCGAAUUCGCGCCCGUUGUCGGUUUGGAGGCCGAGUAUAGGGCGGGAAAACUACGUUUGAACAAAGGCGAAGAACGAAGUGAGCGUGGGGAGGACAUCCGACUUGCGAUGCAACGGAAAAGUCCAUACAAAGUGCGAGAAAUCAUCGAGAAGCACCAAGUAGUAUUGAAACCCUGAAUUGCUUAUUAUUGGAGAGCACCAUACAUCACAAUGCAACAAUUCAAAUGGAAAACGAGAGAUGUGAGAAGAAGAAAAAGGAAGGCGAGUGCUCUUGCCCAAACGGCAAGCAGAGCACGAGUGAGGCGCACUUUUAAUACAUUGAAAAAGAUUGCUACGGAGGAGCUGGUGCAUGGUCGAGGCACCGGGGUGCCCCAAGCGGGCAUGCCAGAUAUCGACGCCCGCGCGAGGAGGGCGACGCCGGAGCGGAUAGAGAUCACCAGGGCUAUCACAUCGGAGCAGCACCGUCUUGGUCCGCAGGUCCUUGAUGGAGAAACCAAAGGGGUCAAAUUCAACCAAAACAAAAUUCUGACGAGUGAGUGCACGAACAGAAAUGAGAUUAGUGAUAAGCUGAGGAGAAACGAGCACAUCAUAGAGUUUAAUGGGAGAAUGAGGGGAGAGAGAGAUCACCGUGGUGUGUGAUGGGGAGAGAGGAACCAUCACCCACCACGAUGCGAGUAGAUGUAGGGAAGGGUUUAGACUGGGAGAGGAUACCAGGGUGGGAGGCCAUGUGGGAGGAUGCGCCAGUGUCCAUGAACCAGUCGUCGUUGCCGGAGUAGGCGGCCGACGAGGGAGCCUGAUGCAGGGCCGCCAGGAGCGCUGGAUCGUAGGGGGAGGACGCCCCGCCGGAGUUGCUGAGCCAGUGCCCAGGGGGCGUGGNNNNNNNNNNNNNNNNNNNNNNNNNNNNNNNNNNNNNNNNNNNNNNNNNNNNNNNNNNNNNNNNNNNNNNNNNNNNNNNNNNNNNNNNNNNNNNNNNNNNNNNNNNNNNNNNNNNNNNNNNNNNNNNNNNNNNNNNNNNNNNNNNNNNNNNNNNNNNNNNNNNNNNNNNNNNNNNNNNNNNNNNNNNNNNNNNNNNNNNNNNNNNNNNNNNNNNNNNNNNNNNNNNNNNNNNNNNNNNNNNNNNNNNNNNNNNNNNNNNNNNNNNNNNNNNNNNNNNNNNNNNNNNNNNNNNNNNNNNNNNNNNNNNNNNNNNNNNNNNNNNNNNNNNNNNNNNNNNNNNNNNNNNNNNNNNNNNNNNNNNNNNNNNNNNNNNNNNNNNNNNNNNNNNNNNNNNCGCUGCAGAGAGGACUGCUGCAUCCUCCGCUCCUUGAGGCGCAAGUAGUUGAUGGCGCGGGCGAACGUCGGCUCGGUGAGAAGGUUGAGAUUAGAAGCAGCGUUGGCGUAGUCUGAACCGAGCCCACGGAUCAGGUUCGUGAGCAUGGUGGCGUCAGAGACCGGGGCGCCCACGUCGCGGAGCUCGUCGGCGAGCACCUUGAGGCGGAGGCAGUAGUCGAAGAGCCCCAUGCCUUCCUGGGAGAGGCUGUAGAACUCGGUCGUGAGAAGCACAUGACGCUGGAGCUGAUUGUCGAGGAAGAGCUGGCAGAUGGAGGUCCAAAUGCCGAGGGCCGAGUCAUCGUCGCGGAUGACGUGCGAGAGGAUCUCGUUGCUGACGGUGCGAUAGAGCCACUUGAUGGUAGUGGCGUCAACCCUCAUCCAGUUGGCAUCGUCGCGCAUGGCGCGGGCGUCAACCGAUCUGUCGACAUGAUCCCGAAUUUGGAAUUCGCGGAAGGUCAACGAGACGUAGGUGCGCGAGGUGGAGAAGGAGGGUGUGUGGAUAUCCAGGACGACGGGGACGUGAUCCUGGAUGUGGAUGAGCCGAAGGCUGGCGGCAGAGGCAGGCUCGAGAACGGCAAAGGGGUUGACCUCGCCGGCGAGGGAGGAGCGAGGGGAGGCCAUCGCGGCGGUGGGUAGCGGAAGCGAGGAGAGGAUCAGAAGAAAACUAAUACCAUGUAAGAUUUGAGAGAGAGAGGUUUUGGAUCUGCACACUUUAUUCAAUCUAAACCAUGAGUAUUUAUACAGGUAGAUGAUCAGUGUCUAACAGAAAACCCUAAGGAGCUAGUUAGCGGCAGUGACCGUGCGAGGUGGGUUAGCAUUGGGUUAUCGAUUCCCAAGCAUGCGGACGUGCAUGCGUGUUGGGUCAUCGCCAUGCAUGGGCUUGCUUGAGGACCAAGUCGGGCCGACGACAUGGGCUAUAGUGAGGCCUGUUUCAACACCAGGCACGACCCGAUUAUUAAACGGGUCGGCAUGUUGGCCCGAUUAGCACGCUNCACGUGCCCAGCCUCCAGGCCCAGGCACGGUCCGAGGCGUGCUUCGUGUCGAGCCCGAGCACGAUUAGCCCGUGCCGGGCCGGGCCGGGCCCGUGUCGUGCCAGACACGCGGGCUGUCGGGCAAGCCCAUUUACCCGGCCCCCAUUUGGCGAGAUCUGGUUCCAGCAGACACUGUAACAAAAUCGAUGCACGUGUGGUAGUGGUGGAAAGGCACGUGGAGAAGGCGUUGAAUUUAUAAUGUGCGCCGAGCACCAUGCGCCAAAUCUAACACGUGUCGGGCCGCCUUUUCCCGUGCUUAAACUUUUCCCGCGCGUCAGAAUCUUUCGCGUGCGCUGGAGUGCACGCUAAAAUUCAAUUUUCCCUUGUGCCCACGUUUUUUAAGUCACUGUUGGAGAUGCUCUCGGGGGAACCAACUUGAGGGAGCGUGGUAUUCUUAGUCGGCCAGGUUUAAAUCUUGUGCUCGUAUUAUUUUUGAAAUUAUUUUAGGAUUUUCAGCAAUGCGCAUUUAGUGAAAAGAAUCAUUUUUGUCGACGACGAGGCGCCUAGAGUGAUUUAGUAAAUCUUAAGAUGAUAUGGUGGCUCAGUCUCUCGAAUGUGAUCAUAAGGAUAGGGUGUACGUAUAUGAGUUCAUAGGGAUGAUUAUAUACACGUGUAUAUGAGCGCUUACGUAUGUACUGUGUUAGAAAAAUACCGUCGCAUAGAAGAACACGGUUUUUUAUUUUAGAGGAAUGACCAUGUGUCUAUUAAACAAACAAUUACAAUGAAUACAUACAUAUAUACACNAUAUAUAUAUGGGGGGGGGGUCUCUUCAUGACUCAAGUGAAUGACAAGGACAAGGUUGAGAUGCCAUCUUUAUAUCAAAAUUUGUAUCAAUCAUUUCAUGACUCAAAUGGUCUGCUACAAUAAUUUCAAAGGUAUGGCACCCUCAAUCCAUCUCCCAAUAUCGUUCAAUUGCUCUUGGCACGGUGAUGUAUAAGAUUGUUGUUAAGGUAGUAGCUAAUCGUAUGAGGGGCAAUAUGAAGGUGAUCAUUAGUGAAGAGCAAAGUAUUUUUGUGCCUCGGUAUUUAAUUAAUGACAACAUUGUAUUUGCAUAUGAAAGUGUGGACACUAGGAGGCGACAAAAGAAGGGCAAGAGUUUCUCAUGCAUUGUUAAAUUGGUGAUGAAAGCCUACAACUGAAUUGAGUGGCAUUACUUGGAAGCCAUCUUGAUGAAGUUGGGUUUUAGCAUCGAUUUCGUAAGACUUAUUACGAAAUAUGUUUCGUCGGUCAGAUUCUCGGUAAGGGUGAAUCAAGAUCUUCUACCAUACUUCACUCCUACAGGGGGAUUGCGACAUGGCGUCCCAAUGUCAUUAUACCUAUUUCUGCUAUGUGUGGAAAGUUUUUCCUCGCUACUCAAAUACUAUGAUGGUGGCUAUGUGGACAAGGGGACCAGAGUCAAUUAUAGAUCACCGCGGGUGAGCCAUUUAUUAUUUGUCGAUGAUAGCCUCAUCUUCCUCAAUGCAACAAGGUUGAACUCCAUUAUUGAGAUAUGUGGAAGUGCUUCAGGGCAGAGUGUGAAUAUAGAUAAGCGGGCCAUCUAUUUUAGUCCUAACACACCGGAUCCGGUUCGACAAUUGCUGAAAACAUCCUUGGAUAUUCAUGUCGAGGCUUUCAUUGUAAAGUAUCUUGGUCUUCCAACAGCUGUGGGGCGCAUUACAAUUGAACUUUUGUACACAUGGAGAUAGGGCUCGAGGGAAGAUGCAAGAGUAGUUGGAAAAGUUAAUAGCUUGCGCCGGGAGAGAUGCAGUAUUGAAGUUCGUUGUUCAAGCGCUCCCGUUGUACAGUAUGACCACUUUUAUCUUGAACAAGAAAGUCUAUAAGAGCAUCACUUCACCAAUGGCAGAGAAAUUAUGGAGUAUCUCUUUGGACAAGAAAUCUAUGCAUUGGGUUUCAUGGUAUAAACUUGCGACUCCAAAGCGCAAAGAGGGCAUGGGAUAUUGAGACAUGCACCCCUUUAAUUUGGCUUUGCUAGGGAAGCAUGGUUGGCAUUUAUGACCUAGCCUAUAUUCCUAUAUGCAAGGGUUUUGAAGGGUCGCUACUUCCCGCACAUUGAUUUCAUGAAUGUUGUUCUUCCUCGCUCGGUAUCAGCUACAUGGCAUGCUACAAUUGCAGGAAUGGAAUCACUAAAGUUUGUUAUGAUAAAGCGAGCUGGUGAUGGAUCACCAAUUUCGUUUUGGGAUGAUAAAUGGACCGCGGGAAGUAUUUCCAUGACACCGAUGCUGAAACCGGAGAACGGGUGAUUGAAAAGGUCCCUGAGUUGAUUGAUUAGGACAAAUGUACAAGGAAUCAACAUGUGGUCAUAGAUACUUUUAUCCCGUCUCAUGCAGAUGCCAUUCUAAACGUUCCAAUUCGGCAAGGUGGAUGCAAUGAUUUUCUUGCUUGCGCAUUUGAAAAGCCAGGAAACUACAGUGUUAAAUCAGCGUACCAUAUCUCAUGACUUAAAAAGAGUGUUUGACUCUGGAAAAAGGAACGGCUACCGAGACCUCAAAGAGUGGUCAACAAUUAUGGAGUGCACUUCAGAAGUUGAAUGUUUUGCCAAGGGUUAGGGUGUUCUAGUGGAGGGUCUUGCAUGGAAUCAUGCUGGAUAUGCUUUAGGAGGGGCGCACAUUCCUGAUCUUCCCCAUGCCUGUCAGGCGAGCGAGGGCUGGGUGCGGUGCAUGUGCUCGGGUUAGCCCCAAUAGAGCAGAAAAAUCCAAGCGAUUGAGCUCUAGCUCACGGGCCUGCUCUCGUGUACAUCACCUCACCAGGUCCUUGAUGCUCUUGUCUCCUCGCGUAACAUCCAAAGGCAACCCCACGAGCGCCCUCGCUGCACUACUCUUGGCAAUUUCCCUGGUGCAAGAUAUCGAAGGCCUCAUGAGCCCCUGAUACGUCCAUUUUGCAUCAUGCUUUCAUGUUGAUAUUUAUCGCUUCUUGGGGUGUUAUUUCAUUUCACGGUACAAUACUUAUGCCUUUUCUCUCUUAUUUUGCAAGGUUUACAUGAAGAGGGAGAAUGCCGGCAACUGGAAUUCUGGCCUGAAAAAGGAGCAAGUUUGAGAUGCCUAUUCUGCGCAACUCCAAAAGCCAUGAAAAUCAACGUGGAUUUUUUUGGGAAUUUAUAAAAAAUACUGGGAUGAAGAAGUGCCAGAGGAGCGCAACCAGGGGGCCACAAGCCUCGUAGGCGCGACCACCCCCCUGGCCGCGCCUAGGGGGCUUGUGGGCUCCCUACUGGCCCACUGGCUCCCCUCUUCUGCUAUAUGAAGGGUUUCGUUCCGAAAAAAAAUCAAGAGGAGGCUUUUCGGAGGAUUCGCCGCCGCCACGAGGCGGAAGUUGAGCAGAACCAAUCUAGAGCUCCGGCAGGACGAUCCUGCCGGGGAAACUUCCCUCCUGGAGGGGGAAAUCGUCGCCAUCGUCAUCACGAACACUCCUCUCAUCGGAAGGGACUCAUCACCAUCAACAUCUUCAUUAGCACCAUCUCAUCUCCGAACCUUAGUUCAUCACUUGUAACCAAUCUCCGUCUCCCGACUCCGAUUGGUACUUGUAAGGUUGUUAGUAGUGUUAAUUACUAUUUGUAGUUGAUGCUAGUUGGAUUAUUUGGUGAAAGAGUUUAUGUUCAGAUCCUUGAUGCUACUCAUUACCUCUCUGGUCAUGAAUAUGAUUAUGCUUUGUGAGUAGUUACUUUUGUUCCUGAGGACAUGGGAUAAGUCAUGCUAAUAGUAGUCAUGUGAAUUUGGUAUUCGUUCGAUAUUUUGAUGUGUUGUAUGUUGUUUUUACUCUAGUGGUGUUAUGUGAACGUCGACUACAUAAAAUUUCACCACUAUUUGGGCUAUAGGAAGGAAUUGGGAAGUAGUAAGUAGAUGAUGGGUUGCUAGAUUGACAGAAGCUUAAACCCUAGUUUAUGCGUUGCUUCGUAAGGGGCGGAUUUGGAUCCACUAGUUUAAUGCUAUGGUUAGACUUUGUCUUAAUUCUUCUUUCGUAGUUGCGGAUGCUUGCGAGAGGGGUUAAUCAUAAGUGGGAUGCUUGUCCAAGUAAGGGCAGUACCCAAAUGCCGGUCCACCCACAUAUCAAACUAUCAAAGUAACGAAAGCGAAUCAUAUGAACAUGAUGAAAACUAGCAUGACAGAAAUUCCCGUGUGUCCUCGGGAGCGUUUUUCCUCCUAUAAGACUUUGUCCAGGCUUGUCCCUUGCUACAAAAGGGAUUGUGCCACUUUGCUGCACCAUUGCUACUUUUGUUACUUGUUGCUUGUUGCGAAUCAUCUCACCACACAACCACUUGUUACCGAUAAUUUCAGUGCCUGCAGAUAUUACCUUGCUGAAAACCACUUGUCAGAUCCUUCUGCUCCUCAUUGGGUUCGACACUCUUACUUGUAGAAAGGACUACGAUAGAUCCCCUAUACUUGUGGGUCAUCAGCCCCCCAUCACGAGGCCUCGCAAGCUGCUCCCUAUGGAGGACUCACUCCAAGCUGCACACCUCAAAGGAGCUAAGUCUAAAACACCCCUCGGGUUUUAUACCUCUCAUUCACCUCUCAAGGCAUCUUGAUUUCCUUGGCACGAGACGCCUACACGUCAAGGGGGACCCUGAGCAUCGUGCCUUAGGGACUCCUACCAUCCCUAAGAUCCCUACACCAUGUGGCCUUGUUGAGCGCAUGCUCUACACAUACCAGCAACGGUUGUAGCCCGUCCCGGGGGCUGGGUCCAAGCGACACAAGGCACAAAGGCAACCUAAAAGGGAAAUAAAGGCCUCGAGAGGAAAACAAAAACACAUAAAACAUCAACUACUUAAGACAAAAGUGCCAUAAGAAUGUUUUCACACACCCACGAGGCUGCAUAUACUUUAUUACAGCAAUGCGCCAAGGGGAGUCUAGGCGGACGAGGCACCACUGUCGUUACUCUCGCCAUCAUUGUGAGGGGUCUCUCUACCACAACCGAUGUGAUCCCUCGCAACCUCUCGUCUGAAACCAAAGUGACUAUCGAGGCAGAGAAGGUUGUCGAAAAGUCGCAUCGUCGCCAGGGUCAACAAGUCACGACACGCCUCCUCGACGAUGGCGUCCACAUCAAGCAGUUGCUUCUUGAGGUCGUCGACCUCGGCCUAGAGCUUGCCCCGCUGGCCCGUGAGGCCCUUCUGUUCAUCGAGAGUAGCCUGGGCGGAAACCAACUUGCACUCCUUCGCCAAUAGGCGCUCCCGCUCUGCCUCCCACGCAGACGGGAAAGACGAUAACUCGCGCUCCCGGGUCUCGAUGUUCGCCUCGCGGGAGGCGACCGCCCUGGGGCGCCUCAAGACCUCCUCCUCAUGUUUUGUGAGCUCGACUUAGCAGGGCGUGGGACAGCUCUCGGAGGCCUCCAUAGCCUCCUCCCGCAUUUUGAGCGGACGCUCGCAUAAAGCAGGUGGUUCCUAGAGCAUCUUCUCGUCGGCAUGAGGCCCCCUCCCGUUGUCGCUUGGCCUCCUGGCAUUAUCGAGGGCCUUCAUGAGGGACACAUGGGCAUCUUUGGCGAGCUAAUCGUGAUAUGCUUGCGCCUCCUCACCCUGCUGACGGUCUAGCUUCAUCGCCUUCUCAAGCCGGCUCUUCCCCUUCUCCAAGCGUCGCCGCUCCUCCGCGUAGAGCUUUGCCUCUGUGCGCCCCUGGGAGAGUGCCUCCCGAUCCUCGACAGCCUCGCCCUCACCCUCAAGCCGAAGCUCGCCCUCCUCCUUGCCUCCCACCAGUUUUUUCUCCAGGCACGUCGGGGCGACGGGCGAGACGACCGACUCCUUGCUGAUUGCGUUGGGUUCCCUCCAGGCUCAAAUGGUGAUGUAGCACAUCGAAGACAAGUAUUUCCCUCAGUUAUGAAACAAAGGUAUCAAUCUAGUAGGAAGAUCCACAAGACUAUGUAAGCGACACAUGCACACAAAUAGCAAAUCCUUGCAAGCCAACGCGUGGAGAGGUCAUCAAUCCCUCGUGGGUAAAGUAAGGAUAGAUUGAUAUAUGCAAAUAAGAAUGAUAGCAAAUAAAAUGCAGCAUGGUAUUUUUGUUUUUUUAUAAUAUAGAUCUGAAAAUAAAAGAGAAAACAAAAUAGAAACAUGAAUAGCAAAUUAGAGGUUGCAAAUAGAUGAUGUGAAGUAGAUCCGAUGGCCGUAGGUUUCACUAGUGGCUUCUCUUGAGAAAAUAGCAAACGGUGGGUAGACAAAUUAUUGUUGGGCAAUUGAUAGAAGAGCAGAAAAUUAAGACGAUAUUCAAGACAAUGAUCAUGUGUAUGUUGGAAAUAUGCCCUAGAGGCAAUAAUAAAAUAGUUAUUAUUAUAUUUCCUGUUUCAAGAUAAUCGUUUAUUAUCCAUGCUAUAAUUGUAUUGAAUGAAAGCAUAGAUACAUGUGUGGAUAUAUAGACAAAACAAUGUCCCUAGUAAGCCUCUAGUUGGCUAGCCAGUUGAUCAAGCAUGGUUAAGGUUUUUUGACCAUAUGCAAGUGUUGUCACUUGAUGACCGGAUCACAUCAUUAGGAGAAUGAUGUGAUGGACAAGACCCAAACUUUGAACGUAGCAUGUGAUCGUGUCAUUUUGUUGCUAUUGUUUUCUGCGUGUCAAGUAUUCAUUCCUAUGACCAUGAGAUCAUGUAACUCACUGACACCAGAGGGAUACCUUGUGUGUAUCAAACGUCGCAACGUUACUGGGUGACUAUAAAGGUGCUCUAUAGGUAUCUCCGAAGGUGUCCGUUGAGUUAGCAUGGAUCAAGACUGGGAUCUGUCACUCCGUGUGACGGAGAGGUAUCUCGGGGCCCACUCGGUGAUACAACAUCACAUAUAAGCCUUGCAAGCAAUGUGACUCAAGUGUUAGUCACGGGAUCUUGUAUUACUGAACGAGUAAAGAGACUUGCCGGUAACGAGAUUGAAAUAGGUAUAGGGAUACCGACGAUCAAAUCUCGGGCAAGUAACAUAGCGAAGGACAAAGGUAAUGGUAUACGCUAUUAUAUGAAUCCUUGGCACAGAGGUUCAACCGAUAAGAUCUUCAUAGAAUACGUAGGAUCCAAUAUGGGCAUCCAGGUCCCGCUAUUGGAUAUUGAACGGGGAGUGUCUCAGGUCAUGUCUGCAUAGUUCUCGAACCCGCAGGGUCUGCACACUUAAGGUUCGGUGACGUUUCGGUAUAGUUGAGUUAUAGGUGUUGGUGAACGAAGGUUGUUCGGAGUCCCGGAUGAGAUCACGGACGUCAGGAGGGUUUCCGUAAUGGUCUGGUAACGAAGAUUGAUAUAUAGGAUGGUUUCAUUUGGUCUCUGGAAAGAUUUCGGGCAUUACCGACAGUGUACCGAGAGUGACGAAUGCAUUUCAGGUUUUCACCGGGAGGGGCCCACCCACCCGGGAGAGAGCCUAAUAGCCCAAGGGUGGCGCACCAGCCCUUAGUGGGCUGGUGAGGCCAGCCCAAGUGGGCUAUGGCGGCUAAGGAGAAAAAACCAAAGAGAAAGAAAAAAAGGGGAGGUGGGAAGGAAGAGGAGGAAUCCUCCUUCCCCAAACCGAAUCGGAGUUGGAGUCCUCCUCUCCUCUCUCGGUCGGCGCCCUAGGGGCUCCCUUGAGCCCCAAGGCUAGCCCCUCCCCUCCUCCUAUAUAUACUAGAGGUUUUAGGGUUUUUGAGACACAACUUUGCCACGUGCAACUCAAACCUCUACUUCAUAGUUCUUCCUCUAGAUCGGUUUUCUGCGUAGCUCAGGUGGAGCCCUGCAGGAAUAGAUCAUCACCAUCACCGGCGCACCAUCACGCUGCCGAAGAACUCAUCUACUUACCCGUCUAUCUUGUUGGAUCAAGAAGGCGGAGAUCGUCAUCGAGCUGUACGUGUGCUGAACGCGGAGGUGCCGUCCGUUCGGCGCUAGAUCGGAACGGAUCGUGGGACGACGGUGAUAUGAAUCACGAAGCUGUACCACUACAUCAACCGCGUUUCUUAACGCUUCCCGCUUAGCGAUCUACAAGGGUAUGUGGAUCCGAUCUCCCUCUCGUAGAUGAACAUCAUCAUGAUAGGUCUUCGUGUGCGUAGGGAUUUUUUUGUUUCCCAUGCAACGUUCCCCAACAGUGGCAUCAUGAGCUAGGUUCAUGCGUAGAUGUAAUUUCGAGUAGAACACAAAAAUUUUUGUGGGCGUUGAUGUUCAAUUUGCUGCCCUCCUUAGUCUUUUCUCGAUUCGACGGUAUUGUUGGAUUGAAGCGGCCCGGACCAACAUUACUCGUACGCUUACGAGAGACCGGUUUCAUCGACUAACAUGCAACUUGUUGCAUAAAGAUGACUGGCGGGUGCCUGUUUCUUCAACUUUAGUUGAAUUGGAUUUGACCGAGGCGGUCCUUGGAUAGAGGUUAAAUAGAAAUUUGCAUAUCUCCGUUGUGGUUUUUGCGUAAGUAAGAUGCGAUCAUACUAGAUACCAGUAGCAUCCACGUAAAACAUGCAACAACAAAUUAGAGGACGUCUAACUUGUUUUUGUAGGGUAUGCUUGUGAUGUGAUAUGGCCAAAGACAUGAUGUGAUAUAUUGGAUGUAUGAGAUGAUCAUGUUGUAAUAGUUAAUAUCGACUUACACGUCGAUGCUACGGCAACCGACAGGAGCCAUAGGGUUGUCUUCAAACUAACGUUUGUGUUUGCAGAUGCAUUUACUAUAUUGCUAGGUUGUAGCUUUAGUCGUAAUAGCAUAGAUAGCACGACAACCGCGAUGGCGGCACGAUGAUGGAGAUCAUGGUGUGGCGCCGGUGACGAUGAAGAUCAUGCCGAUGCUUUGGUGAUGGAGAUCAAGAAGCACAAGAUCAUGGCCAUAUCAUGUCACUUAUGAACUGCAUGUGAUGUUAAUCCUUUUAUGCACCUUAUCUUGCUUAGAAUGACGGUAGCAUUAUAAGGUGAUCCCUCACUAAAUUUCAAGAUAAAAUUGUGUUCUCCCCGACUGUGCACCGUUGCGACAGUUCAUUGUUUUGAGACACCACGUGAUGAUCGGGUGUGAUAGACUCAACGUUCACAUACAACGGGUGCAAAACAGUUGCACACGUAGAACACUCGGGUCAAACUUGACGAGCCUAGCAUGUGCAGACAUGGCGGGGGGGGGGGGGGGGCAAGAGACCGAAAUGUCGAGCAUGAAUCGUAUAGUUGAUAUGAUUAGCACAGAUAUGUUUACCACUGAAACUACACUCAACUCACGUGAUGAUCGGACUUGAGUUAGUGAAUUUGGAUCAUGCCACACUCAAGUAACUAGAGGGAUCUCUAUUUGAGUGGGAGUUUAUUAGUAAUUUGAUUAGUUAAACUCUAAUUGUCUUGAACAUAGUCUAAGUCCACUUUGCAAUAUUUUAUGUUGUAGAUCAAUGGCUCACGCAGUAGCAACCCUGAAUUUCAAUACGUUCCUGGAGAAAGCUAAGCUGAAAGAUGAUGGUAGCAACUUUGUAGACUGGGCUCGUAAUCUUAGGAUCAUCCUACAAGCUGGGAAAAAGAAUUAUGUCCUUGAUGCUGCACUAGGAGAUGAACCACCCACUACGUCUGAUCAAGAUGUUUUGAACGCUUGGCAAUCACAUAAGGAGGACUACUCAGUAGUUCAAUGUGCAGUCUUGUAUGGCUUGGAACCGGGACUUCAACGAUGCUUUAAACGUCAUGGAGCAUAUGAGAUGUUCCAGGAGUUGAAGUUUAUCUUUCAGAAGAACGCCCGGAUCGAGAGGUAUGGGACCUCCGAUAAAUUCUAUGCUUGCAAAAUGGAGGAGAAUUCGUCUGUUAGUGAACAUGUGCUCAAAAUGUCUGGGUAUUCAAAUCAUCUAGCCGAGUUGGGGAUUGAACUCCCGCAAGAGGCUAUCAUUGACAGAAUUGUUCAAUCACUGCCACCUAGCUAUAAGAGCUUUGUGUUGAACUAUAAUAUGCAAGGGAUGAACAAGUCACCCCGCGAGUUAUUCACGAUGCUGAAAGUCGCAGAGUCAGAACUCCGGAAAGAACAUCAAGUGUCGAUGGUCAAUAAGACCACUGGUUUCAAGAGAAACAACAAAGGCAAGAAGGGUAACUCCAAGAAGAGCGGCAAAACAGUUGCCAAUCCGACGAAGAAACCCAAGGCUGGACCUAAGCCGGAAACAUGGUUCUAUUAUUGCAAGGGGAUGGGUCACUGGAAGCGCAACUGCCCCAAGUAUUUGGCUGAUAAGAAGUCGGCCAACGCCAAACCAGGUAUAUGUGAUAUACAUGUUAUUGAUGUGUACUUAACCAACUCUCGUAGUAGUGCCUGGGUAUUUGAUACCGGUUCUGUUGCUCAUAUUUGCAACUCAAAGCAGGAACUGCGGAAUAAACGAAGGUUGGCGAAGGAUGAAGUGACGAUGCGCGUGGGAAAUGGUUCCAAGGUUGAUGCAAUCGCCGUCGGCACAGUCUCACUUCAGUUACCAUCAAGAUUAGUUAUGAACUUAAAUAAUUGUUAUUUAGUGCCUGCGUUAAGGAUGAACAUUAUAUCUGGAUCUUUUUUAUUACGAGACGGAUACUCAUUUAAGUCAGAGAAUAAUGGUUGUUCUAUUUUUAUGAGUAAUAUCUUUUAUGGUCAUGCACCCAAUGUGAGGGGUUUGUUCAUAUUGAAUGUUGAUUGUGAGUUAACAAUGAUAGCGCCACCUUUUUGUGGCACUUCUGCUUAGGUCAUAUUGGUGUAAAGCGCAUGAAGAAACUCCAUGCUGAUGGGCUUUUGGAGUCACUUUAUUUUGAAUCACUUGACAUGUGCGAACCAUGCCUCAUGGGAAAGAUGACUAAGACCCCGUUCUCUGGAACAAUGGAACAUGCAAGUGACUUGUUGGAGAUCAUACAUAAUGAUGUGUGCGGUCCAAUGAGUGUGGAGGCGCGUGGCGGAUAUCGUUAUUUUCUCACCUUCACUGAUGAUUUGAGUAGGUAUGGAUAUAUCUACUUGAUGAAGCACAAGUCUGAAAUGUUUGAAAAGUUCAAGCAAUUUCAGAGUGAAGUGAAAAUCAUCGUAACAAGAAUAUCAAGUUCCUACGAUCUGAUCGAGGGGGUGAGUAUCUGAGUUUCGAGUUCGAUGCUCACUUAAGACAAUGUGGAAUCGUUUCACUGUUGACACUUCCUAGAACACCACAGUGUAAUGGUGUGUCCGAACGUCAUAAUCGUACUUUGUUAGAUAUGGUGCGAUCUAUGAUGUCUCUUACCGAUUUGCCAUUAUCGUUUUGGGGUUAUGCAUUAGAGACAGCUGCAUUCACUUUAAAUAGGGCACCAUCAAAAUCCGUUGAGAUGACACCAUAUGAGCUAUGGCAUGGCAAGAGGCCAAAGUUGUCGUUUCUUAAAGUUUGGGGAUGCGAUGCUUAUGUCAAAAAGCUUUAGCCUGAAAAGUUGGAACCCAAAGCGGAAACGUGUUUCUUCAUAGGUUACCCAAAAGAGACAGUUGCGUACACCUUCUAUCUCAGAUCCGAGGGCAAAGUGUUUGUUGCUAAGAAUGGAUCUUUUCUUGAGAAGGAGUUUCUCUCGAAAGAAUUGAGUGGGAGGAAGAUAUAACUUGAUGAGGUUGUGGAACCUUUGCUCCCUCUAGAUGGUGGCGUAGGGCAGAGAGAAAUCUCUGUCGAGGCAACACCGGUUGAGGAAGAAGCUAAUGAUGAUGAUCAUGAAGCUUUGGAUCAAGUUACUAUCGGACCUCGCAGGUCGACAAGAUCACGUACUGCUCCUGAGUGGUACAGGAAUCAUGUCUUAUCGAUCAUGUUGUUAGACAACAAUGAACCUGUGAAUUAUGAAGAAGCAAUGGUGGGCCCGGAUUCCAACGAAUGGCUGGAGGCCAUGAAGUCCGAGAUAGGAUCUAUGUAUGAAAACAAAGUAUGGACUUUGGAAGUAUUACCUGAAGGUCAUAAGGCUAUUCAGAACAAAUGGAUCUUUAAGAAGAAGACGAACGCGGACGGUAAUGUGACCGUUUAUAAAGCUCGACUUGUGGCAAAGGGUUUUUCACAAGUUCAAGGAGUUGACUACGAUGAGACGUUCUCACUGGUAGAAAUGCUUAAGUCCGUCCGAAUCAUGUUAGCAAUAGCUGCAUUUUUCGAUUAUGAAAUCUGGCAGAUGGAUGUCAAAACGGCGUUCCUUAAUGGUUUUCUUAAGGAAGAGUUGUAUAUGAUGCAACCCGAAGGUUUUGUCGAUCCAAAGAAUGCUAACAAAGUACGCAAGCUCCAGCGAUCCAUUUAUGGACUGGUGCAAGCAUCUCGGAGUUGGAAUAAGUGCUUUGAUGAGGUGAUGAAGUGUAAGGACUAAGAUGCGGUCCUUUUCGGUUUAGGGGAACGAGGCCCCAAAGAGGAAAGAAGCGCAUCUAAGCGUUUCGCAAACACGGUAACAUAGCACAUACAUAAUAAUAGAAUGACAAUUAGGGAUUCAACUGCCAUAUCAUAAAUAAUAUUAGAGUUUACAUCACGCAUCCAAGCAAGGUAGUUCCGCUAUGGACUACAAAACAUGAGAAAUGACUAUGUUACCCUGCAUGCUUGCCCACGAUCACGACCACGCCUCAGUCUUUUGGACAGUUCACGUACAGGCGGUCGUUCUCCUCAUCGUACUGCCACGCCAGCUACGUGUCGUCGGGAUCACCUGUCUCGGGGGUACCUGAACCUAUUGGUGCGUUGAAGUAAUAUGUGAGCCACGGGGACUCAACAAUCUAUGACCUCGGUGCUAGAACUAGUCAAGUUAAUAGGUAAGGAAGGUGGAGUAUUUAGGUUGCAACAUCCUAAGCAUAUAUGGUGGCUAACUUACGUAGAGCAAGUAUUGAAGAUGGUCUAUACUAGCAAUCGAUGAUUAGCUGAUCACUAAGUGAUCCUGAACACCUACUUAUGUCAAUCAUAACCCCACCGUGUUCCCGAUCGAAGAGAAGUCUUCGAAGGGGACAAUCACGGUUACACAAACAGUUGGCAAUUUUAUUAGCUUAUGUUUAAGUUAUCUAUAAGCGGAUGUUAACAAAUAUUCCAAGUUGCCACAUAACCGCGGGCACGACUUUCCGAAAUAUUAAACCCUGCAGGCGUGCUCCAACUAGUCCAUCACAAAUGGUCACGGGCCGCAAAGUAAUCCUCUAUCACGAAUCUCGUGAUCUCGUCGGAUUCCUUAGAGGAAAACCUCAACUCUGGGGAGAACCAAAGCUUCACCGGGAUUCCUAUACACAAGAUAUAUCGCUAAGGUAAGACAAGAUUAGCAGGACCUCCCGUCGUGUCGACGACCCCGAUAAGAGCCGCGUAUCUCAGUCUCAGGACACGACGGAUGAGCUACGCGCACGAUGGCCUGAUAGAAAUCACUCAAGUUGCCCUGAGUUGGCCCCGAACAGUGCUCAUUUUGGACCAACACUCAUGAGGAGCACUGGCCCGGGUUGUUGAUUAACUCCUCGGGGUGAUCAUUCCCUAUGCAGAUUAUUAUUAAGUGAUUAGCAAAUUAACACCAAUGUUGGGUCCCUCCGGACAAGUCUUAACACUACACGAUUUAUCAAGGGGGUCCCCAUAACAACCCCGAACGUGUUAGGAGCGAACAGUUAUGGAAUCAAACACUCGUAGCCGGAAACUAUGGCGGCAAUAACGGAACAAAACACCCGGAAAAAGGCUAAGCCUUCCGUUAUUUACCAAGUAUAUAGGUGCAUUAAUUAAAUAAUAGAUUAACAUAAUGAUAUCAACUGAUGUUAUCACAUGAGACAAAGCACCUGCAACUAGCAACGCUGACAUUAGUAGCUGAGCAAAGCCUACUUAGCCGUUCAAGAUUUGCUAGGAGGGGAAAGUGUUUGGUUUUCAUGGCAAUAUUCAGGAGGCAAUUAUUUCAGUGGUAGGCAGCGAGCAUAUGACAAGGAAACGUGAAUCUAGCAUAACAAGUCUAGAGAUGGAAUCAAGAUCAUAUCAUCUUGCGUGUGAUGUCCUCAGCUUGGAAUUGCUCUGGUUCGUCCUGCACGUACUCUCCCGGAUCCACGUACUCAUUCUCUGAUCCCGGUGCUACCCAACAUAAAAAUAACAUCCAAUGAAUAACAACACUUCAAGAUGCAACAAGCACAUGAUGCAUGAGAUGAAAAUGAACAUGCACCUCUAUUGUACUCACUUGAACAUGCUUGAGAAGGAGAUACAAGUUCCUGGACAAAACUGCACUCUAAGCUAUCUUGUCAUGUAUGAGGAUGACAUGAACAGAAGCGUCACGCGAAAAUGAUGCAAAAACAUAUAAAGAACGUUACGUUCGGAGCUACGGAUCAACCGGAAACAAUGAAACAAGAAAUAGAGUCCUACGUGUCAAAUUCGUCACCACACACUCCAAUGGCAUACUUCUGCUAUUCCCAGGUUGCCAUAUCACAAAACAAACAAGAAUGGAUGGGGUGGUGCAAAGAAUACCACCACACCAUCAACUAUGCACUCCCAAGCAUCAAACAUCAAAACUAUACAAUCUGCCAUAAGCAACAUCAUAGCAGUUUGAGAGCUACAUGCAAAGCACCUACAGCUGCCCAAAUAUGCCAAAUAGGAUAUGUGGCAGAAGCUAUCCAAGAGUACUAGAAGCAUGAGCAAAAAUCUAAUUCGAAGGAGUUUCAUACGGAAAGUUACACAGCUGCUAACUUGGCCAAAAAUAUUAGUUUCCAGGGACUUAGUGAAAAUCUCAGAUUCUCACUAGCUGUUUAUGCUCUGAAGCAUUUUGACAGCACCCAAAACAAUAUCUACAGGAUUCCAAAUGGAAUGAAAAUUGACAGAUAGCUAUACAAAUACAAAAUCUACAACUUCCCAGUUGAUAGCUAGGGCUGAUUCCCAACACAUGGUCUUCUACAAGCACAACAACAGGAGAAGAAAAUAUAAGCAGAUUCCCAGACUUAGUGAAAAUCUGUGAUUUUCACUAAACUGGAAUUUUUAGUCACAUGCCUACUUUGACUAGGCACAACUUGCACACAUGAACUCCUAAGCAUGAAACAAAACCAACAUGUGGUAGAAGGGUUCACCCUCUACCGCCACAACAAAGAAUCAACCUCUUGGGCUCAUCACAUCACAUGGAACCAAGCUCUAAACAUGGAACAAAACUGAAAUAUGACAUUCCCAGAAAGUGUUCCAAAGGCAAAACUUACUUCACCAAUGGAUUCAUGGGAUGAUUCUACCCCAAAAACAUAUAUAAUACAUAUGCACUUGCAUAGAAUAAUUGGGCACAAGGCUAAGAAGAAGAUAAGCAUGGAUUCACAAGGUGUGAAUAGUGCAUCAUCACAUGUGCUAUUCAGUAAAACAACACCUACAUAUCCACUUGCACACUAUCAACACUACAAUGGUGCACAUGAGGGUUAUCCCUCAUGCUCAUGUGCCUUAGCAAACCACCACACACACACACAAGCAUCAAGCACAACAUAAUAUAAACACCUACACAUGCUAAUGGGAACACCCACACUAGAUUACACCACAACAUCUAUACACCUUCACAUAUAAACAUGCUCAUGUGCUCAUCAAGGCACUCCAUGCCUUGAGCAUGUGUGGGACACACACACACCAUCUCACACAACAACACAAGAGCACCUACAUAUACACAAGGUAGGUGAGGGCGGAAACCCACACACACACUCACAUCACAUACUUGCACAAGAUAGGACAUAAGNNNNNNNNNNNNNNNNNNNNNNNNNNUGCAUAUCUAUAGCCUAGUGCAACACACAACUAAACACACCCACACAUACAUGUCAUCUAGCUCACAAUGCACAUACAUACAUAUCACUACACAUGCAUAUUUACAUAGCUAGAGAAAUACUAGGAACCUGCUAGAAUAAAUCCAGCAACCAAAACUUGCCUCACAAGCAUGCUGCAGUACAAUAUAGCAAGCAAACAAAACAAACAGGGAAGAAAUGCACAAAAAAAGGACAGGGGAGGGAUCGAACCCUAGAGCCCCUGAUCACCACCUGCACCUCAUACCACUGCGCUAUGGAACAGUCACUUGACAGAUAAGGAAAGCCUAGCAGGAUAAGGUGAUACACGCUGCUCUGUUACUGUGCCGAGAGAAAAAUAGCACAAAAAGGGGGGUUUGGCGCCGCGGGGAUUCGAUCCCACAACCACCUGAUCCACAACAAACACUGCACCACUAUGCCGCGCUACUAUACUUGACAGAGAGGAGGAACUCUCCAAGGUAAGACAUCGAAGCCGGCCUGCUCUGCUACUCACAGAGACGCCGACGGCAGCAAGCCACCGGAGCAAACCUACUUGCUCUACUGCUGCUCUACGCGCGGGGAUCCAUCUACACUACAACUACUACGCUGUUGGAGGCCCCGAGCCACGACGAGCCAAGCACAACAACACAAGAACGACACACCACCUGCACCUGCCCUCGUGCUCUUCUCUGAACAGAGAGGCACGACCUCGAUCUCCUACGCGCAACUACCGAGGAAGAAAAGAGGAAGAUACUAGCUCUCACCUAGGGGAAGGAGGAGAGGUUGCCGAUCGGGGAAGAGGCCUGCCUGGAGAAGAACGAAGACGACCUGAAGCGCCUGACGAAGAACUCUGCAGAACCAAAGCAGGGAGGAACAGGCCGCCGGGAACACGCCGUUGACGUGGUCCUGCCCGUCGCUGUGGUCGCGCUUUGACCUCAACAACAACGGGAAUGGAACGCGGGGCCUACCCCCGAGCCCCCUGACAUGAUGGCCGACACCGAAGGCGGCGGAUGCACGGGAUCGACGACGGCGCACUACUGCCCUCUAUGUGUACCUGGAUCUACAGGAGCUUACCUUGGGGAAGGAGGAGAAGGAUGGAGACGGCAGCGCUAGAUGGGGGAAGCAUGGAACCCUAGGGCAAGGGGGCACGAACGCCGAGGGUUAUAAGAGGGCCUCGACGUCUGUGAGCCCUCACGGCAUGCUCGCUCCCUCUCUGCUGCGUGACGGAAAGCGACGCACGGGGAGACGCCGUCUGAAGAAGGAGAAGGAACGCGUGCCUGGGCUGCCGCGGGGGGGGGGGAGAGAAGCUAGGCCUGCUAGUGGGAGGAGGCCCACUAGUUGGCGCCAGGUAGAAGGAAAUAAACCCAUGGGGUUUAUUAAUUAAGCCAAGACCAGACAAACAAAACAAAUGCACAUGCUAAACAGAUAAAGCUAAAAUUAAAUCAAAAAUACCCCUGGUCAUAAGAAAUUAUGACCUAUUUAAAUAAAAUAGAAAAGAAAUAUUUGGAGCAAUUAAAUAUUUACAAAACAACAUUUAUAUGAUAUGUUUUGGGAAUAUUUGCACCUUUAAAAUAUAGAUUCAAAACAACCAAUUCACAUCUUCACAUCCACCACAAAGUAUACUAAAUCAUGGACAUUUUUUAAAACAAGGAUGGGACAAGUGAAGCUUGACCUUGAGAUAAAUAAAGAGGAAGAUGGUUUUGAAGCCUAUGCAAACCACAUAGUUUCCUACUAGCAAUUGCACCACUCCAUUACUCACAUACACUAUCAUCACAUGACAUAUUCAACACACCACAUACCCACAUGGAUUCACAAAGGCACAAACACAAGACAUGGGUGAAUGAUAGAUGCAUGCAAGCAAAGGAAGAACAAAACAAUGUGACAUCACAUGAAAUCAUAUGCAUUGAGCUCUCAUAUCAAUGACAAGGUGGACCCACAUAGAGAAGGUUCCAGAUAUGGCAAGAUACACUCUUGGGGCAUUACAUGAAGGCAUUUGGGUUUAUACAAGUUAUUGGAGAAUCUUGUAUUUACAAGAGAGUGAGUGGGAGCUUUGUAGAGUUUCUUAUAUUAUAUGUGGAUGACAUAUUGCUGAUUGGAAAUAAUGUGGAGUUUUUAGAGAGCGUAAAGGAUUACUUGAACAAAUGUUUUUCAAUGAAAGACCUAGGAGAAGCUGCUUACAUAUUAGGCAUUAAUAUCUAUAGGGAUAGAUCGAGGUGCCUAAUAGGACUUUGACAAAGCACAUACCUUGAUAAAGUUUUGAAGAAGUUCAAAACGGAGCAGUCCAAGAAGGGGUUCUUGCCAGUGUUACAAGGUAUAAAGUUGAGUAAGACUCAGUGUCCGGUAACCGCGGAAGAUAGAGAAAAGAUGAGUAGCGUCCCCUAUGCUUCAACCAUCGGGUCUAUCUUGUAUGCAAUGUUAUGCACAAGACCGGACGUCAGCCUGGACAUAAGUAUGGCACGCAGGUUUCAAAGUAAUCCAGGAGUGGAUCACUGGACGACGGUCAAGAAUAUUCUGAAAUACCUGAAAAGGACUAAGGAAAUUUUUCUCGUUUAUGGAGGUGACGAAGAACUCGUCGUAAAGGGUUACGUCGAUGCAAGCUUUCACAUUGAUCCGGAUGACUCUAAGUCUCAAUCCGGAUACAUAUUUGUUCUUAAUGAGGGUGCGGUAAGCUGGUGCAGUUCCUAGCAAAGCGUCGUAGCAGAUUCUACAUGUCAAGUGGAGUACAUGGCUUCCUCGAAGGCAGCUAAGGAGGGUGUCUCGAUGAAGCAAUUCAUGACGGAUUUUGGAGUUGUGUCGAGUGCACUAAAUCCAAUAACUCUGUUCUGUGACAACACUGGUGCCAUUGCUCUAGCCAAGGAACCAAGGUUUCACAAGAAGACCACACACAUCAAAGGACGCUUGAUACGUCUCCAACGUAUCUAUAAUUUUUGAUGGUUCCAUGCUAUUAUAUUGUCUUCUUUGGAUGUUUUGCAUGCCUUUUAUAUAUUUUUUGGGACUAACUUAUUAACUCAGUGCCAAGUGGUAGUUCCUGUUUUUUCCAUGUUUUUGACCCUUUUUCAGACGGAGUCCAAAUGGAAUGAAACUUUACGAUGAUUUUUUUGGACCAAAAGAUACCCCCAAAGCUUUGGAAGAAGGCCAGAAGAGCCACGAGGGAGUCACAAGCCCAUGUUAUGCGGCCUACCCCCCUGGUCGCACCGUGCAGGCUUCUGACCUCCUUGUGGGCCCAACUGACUCAAUUCCACCGCCAUAAAUUCCUAUAAAUUCAGAAACCCCCAGAAAGAAACCUAGAUCGGGAGUUCCGCCGCCGCAAGCCUCUGUAGCCACCAAAAACCAAUCUGGAGCCCGUUCCGGCACCCUGCCGAAGGGGGAAUCCAUCUCCAGUGGCCAUCUUCAUCAUCCCGGCGAUCUCCAUGACGAGGAGGGAGUAGUUCUCCCUCGGGGCUGAGGGUAUGUACCAGUAGCUAUGUGUUUGAUCUCUCUCUCUCUCGUGUUCUUGAGAUGUCUUGAUCUCGAUGUACCGUGGGCUUUGCUACUAUAGUUGGAUCUUACGAUGUUCUUCCCCCUCUCCCUUCUUGUAAUGAAUCGAGUUUCCCCUUUGGAGUUAUCUUAUCGGUUUGAGUCUUUGAGAGCACUUGAUGUAUGUCUUGAACCUGUCUAUCUACUUUGAUCAACCUGCGGGUUUGUGACAAUUGGGAACCUAUGCAUAUGGUUGGCACACGUGGAUUCAUGUGAGUACUCGAUGUAUGUUUUGGUGAUCAACUUGUGGGUUCGUGACAUUGGGAACCUAUGCAUAGGGGUUGGCACACGUUUUGACUCUCCGGUAGAAACUUUGGGGCACUCUUUGAAGUUCUAUGUGUUGCUUGAAUAGAUGAUUCUGAGAUUGUGUGAUGCAUAUCGUAUAAUCAUGCACACGGAUACUUGAGGUGACAAUGGAGUAUUGAUACGUCCAUUUUGCAUCAUGCUUUCAUGUUGAUAUUUAUUGCUUUUUGGGCUGUUAUAUUACUUGUGGUACCAUAUUUAUGCCUUUUCUCUCUUAUUUUGCAAGGUUUAUUUGAAGAGGGAGAAUUCAGGCAGCUGGAAUUCUGGACUGGAAAAGGAGCAAAUCCUAGUCCACUAUUCUGCACAUCUCCAAAUGCCCUAAAAAGUUACGUGGAUUUUUUUGGGAUUAUAUAAAAAAUAUGGGGCGAAAGAACUACGGGAGGGGGGCUACCAGGGCGCCACAAGCCCUGACACCGCCACCCCCUGGUGGCGGAGUGGGGGCUUGCGGGUUCCCUGACGGCCCACUAGCCCCCCUCUUUUGCUAUAUGAAGCGUCCUGGUCCAGAAAAAAAUCAAUUAGGAGCUUUUUCGUGGUUUCGCCGCCGCCAUGAGGCGGAACUUGAGAAGAUCCAAUCUAGAGCUCCGGCAGGACGAUCCUGCCUGGGAAACUUCCCUCCCGGAGGGGGAAAUCGUCGCCAUUGUCAUCACCAACACUCCUCUAAUCGGAGGGGAUGCAUCUUCAUCAACAUCUUCAUCAGCACCAUCUCCUCUCCAAUCCCUAGUUCAUCUCUUGUAACCAAUCUUCGUCUCGCUACUCCGAUUGGUACUUGUAAGGUUUCUAGUAGUGUUGAUUACUCUUUGUAGUUGAUGCUAGUUGGAUUACUUGGUGGAAGAGUUUAUGUUCAGAUCCUUGAUGCUAUUCAUUACACCUCUGAUCAUGAUUAUGAUUAUGUUUUGUGAGUAGUUACUUUUGUUCCUGAGGACAUGGGAUAAGUCAUGUUAAUAAUAGUCAUGUGAAUUUGAUAUUCGUUCGGUAUUUUGAUAUGUUGUAUGUUGUCUUUUCCUCUAGUGGUGUUAUGUGAACGUCGAUUACAUAACACUUCACACCAUAUUUGGGCCUAGAGGAAAGCAUUAGGAAGUAGUAAGUAGAUGAUGGGUUGCUGGAGUGACAGAAGCUUAAACCCCAGUCUAUGCGUUGCUUCGUGAGGGGCUGAUUUGGAUCCACUAGUUUAAUGCUAUGGUUAGACUUUGUAUUAAUUAUUUUUUUGGAGUUGCAGAUGCUUGCGAGAGAGGUUAAUCAUAAGUGGGAUGCUUGUCCAAGUAAGGGCAGUACCCAAGCGCCGGUCCACCCACAUAUCAAACUAUCAAAGUAACGAACGCGAAUCAUAUGAACAUGAUGAAACUAGCAUGACAGAAAUUCCCGUGUGUCCUCGGGAGUCUUUUUCCUCCUAUAAGACUUUGUUCAGGCUUGUCCCUUGCUACAAAAGGGAUUGGGCCACUUGCUGCACCUUUGCUACUACUUGUUACUUGUUACUUUUUGCUCGCUACAUUUGACCUCACUACACCAUCACUUGUUACCGCUACUUUCAGUGCUUGCAAUUAUUACCUUGCUGAAAUCCGCUUAUCAGAGCCUUCUGCUCCUCGUUGGGUUCGACACUCUUACUUAUCGAAAGGACUACGAUUGAUCCCCUAUACUUGUGGGUCAUCGAGACUCUUUUCUGGCGCCGUUGCCGGGGAGUGAAGUGCCUUUGGUAAGUGGAAAUUGGUAAGGAAACAUUUUUAUAUUGUGCUGAAAUUUAUUGUCACUUGUCACUAUGGAAACUGUUCCUUUGAGGAGUUUGUUCGUGGUAUAUUCACCACGAACGGAAGCACGAGGAGUUUCUCCUCAACCUGAGGUACCUACUGAAAAUAUCUUUUAUGAAAUUCCUUCGGGUAUGCUUGAGAAACUGCUGGCUAAUCCUUUCACAGGAGAUGGAUCUUCACAUCCAGACUUGCAUCUGAUCUUUGUAGAUGAAGUUUGUGGUUUAUUUAAGCUUGCAGGUUUGCCCGAGGAUGUGGUAAAGAAGAAAGUCUUUCCUUUAUCUUUGAAGGAUAAGGCAUUGACAUGGUAUAUGCUAUGUGAUGAUACUGGAUCAUGGGGCUACAAUCGGUUGAAAUUGGAAUUUCAUCAAAAGUUCUAUCCUAUGCAUUUAGUACAUCGUGAUCGGAACUUUAUUUAUAACUUUUGGCCUCGUGACAGGGAAAGCAUAGCUCAAGCUUGGGGGAGGCUUAAAUCAAUGCUAUAUUCAUGCCCCAAUCAUGAGCUCUCGAGAGAAAUCAUCACUCAAAACUUUUAUGCUCGAUUUUCUCAUGAAGAUGUACCAUGCUUGACACUUCUUGUGCCGGUUCUUUUAUGAAGAAGGAUAUUGAUCACAAGUGGAAUUUAUUGGAGAGAAUCAAACGCAAUUCUGAAGAUUGGGAGCUGGAGGAAGGUAAGGAGUCAAGUAUGAAUUUCCAGUUUGAUUGCGUUAAAUCUUUUGUUGAGACAAACACUUCUAGAGAUUUUAGCACAAAGUAUGGACUUGAGUCUGAGAUAGUAGCUUCUCUAUGUGAAUAUUUUGCUGCUCAUGUUGAUCUUCCCAAAGAGAAGUGGUUUAAAUAUCAUCCUCCUGUAGAAAGCAACAUAGCUAAAACCAAUCUAGUUGAGGAGAAAGUCAUUGCUUUUAGUGAUCAUGUUGUUCCUUGUGCUUACACUGAGAAACCACCAUACCCUCCUAGGAUAAAGGAUUAUUCUAAAGCUCCGAUGAUACGUAGGGGUUACAUUAGACCACUUGCACCCCCUGAGGAGAUUAGAGUUGAACCUAGUGUUGCUAUUAUCAAAGAUCUCUUAGCCGAAGACAUAAAUGGGCAUGUUAUCAAAUUCUGCGAGGACUCUGCUAGAAUUGCUAAACCUCACGCGAAAGACAAACACGGACCUGUAGUUGGCCUGCCCGUUGUUUCUGUUAAGAUAGGAGAUCACUGUUACCAUGGUUUAUGUGAUAUGGGAGCUAGUGUUAGUGCAAUACCCCGUUCUAUAUAUGAUGAAAUCAAAGAUGAGAUUGCACCUGCUGAGUUAGAACCCAUUGAUGUUACUAUUACGCUAGCUAAUAGAGACACUAUCUGCCCUCUGGGAAUUGUGAGAGACGUAGAAGUCCUAUGUGGUAAGACGAAGUAUCCUACUGAUUUCCUCGUCCUUGGUACUGCACAAGAUAGCUUUUGUCCCAUCAUAUUUGGUAGACCCUUUCUCAACACUAUCAACGCUCACAUUGAUUGCAUUAAGCAGACUGUCACAGUUAGUUUCGAGGGUGUGUCUCAUGAAUUUAACUUCUCCAAGUUUGGAAGACAACCCCAUGAAAGAGAGUCGUCCGGUAGGGAUGAAAUCAUUGCUCUUGCCUCUAUUGCCGUACCUCCUACAGAUCCUUUAGAGCAAUAUCUGCUUGAGCAUGAAAAUGAUAUGCAUAUGGAGGAGAGAGAUGAGAUAGAUAAAAUUGUCUUAGAACAAUAUCCUAUUCUCAAGAAUAAUCUGCCUGUUGAACUGCUUGGGGAUCCUCCCCCACCAAAGGGUGAUCCUGUGUUCGAGCUUAAAUAGUUGCCUGAUACUCUUAAGUAUGCCUAUCUUGAUGAGAAGGAGAUAUAUCCUGUCAUUAUUAGUGCUCUCCUCUCAGAGCAUGAAGAGAAGAAGUUACUAAGAACUCUGAGGAAGCACCGCGCUGCUAUUGGAUAUACUCUUGAUGAUCUUAAGGGUAUUAGUCCUACUCUAUGUCAGCACAAGAUUAAAACCGAUCCUGACUUUAAACCAGUUGCUGAUCAUCAAAGGAGAUUAAAUCCUAAGAUGAAAGAGGUCGUUAGAAAAGAAAUAUUAAAGCUUCUGGAAGCAGGAAUCAUUUAUCCUGUUGCUCAUAGUGAUUGGGUAAGUCCAGUACAUUGCGUACCUAAGAAGGGAGGUAUCACCGUCGUUCCUAAUGAUAAGGAUGAACUAAUCCCACAAAGGAUUAUUACCAGCUAUAGAAUGGUGAUAGACUUCCGGAAACUGAACAAGGCAACCAGGGAAGAUCAUUAUCCUUUGUCGUUCAUCAACCAAAUGCUAGAAAGGCUAUCAAAGCACACACACUUCUGCUUUCUAGACGGUUAUUCAGGUUUCUCGCAAAUACCAGUUGCACAAUCUGAUCAAGAGAAAACCACUUUCACCUGCCCUUUCAGUACCUUUGCCUAUAGACGUAUGCCUUUUGGCUUAUGUAAUGCACCCGCCACCUUCCAAAGAUGUAUGAUGGCUAUAUUCUCUGACUUUUGUGAAAAGAUCGUCGAGGUUUUCAUGGAUGACUUCUCUGUUUAUGGGUCCUCCUUUGAUGAUUGCCUCAGCAACCUUGAUCGAGUCUUACAGAGAUGCGAAGAAACCAACCUCGUCUUGAAUUGGGAGAAGUGCCACUUUAUGGUUAAUGAAGGUAUCGUCUUAGGACACAAAAUUUCUGAGAGAGGCAUUGAAGUUGAUAAGGCUAAGGUUGAUGCAAUUGAGAAAAUGCCUUGCCCCACAGAUAUAAGAGGUAUACGAAGUUUCCUAGGUCAUGCUUGUUUCUAUAGAAGGUUCAUUAAAGACUUCUCUAAGAUUUCUAGGCCUCUUACCAACCUCUUGCAGAAGGAUGUUCCUUUUGUUUUUUAUGAGGAUUGUGAGGAAGCUUUCGAAAUACUUAAGAAGGCUUUGAUAACCGCACCUAUUGUUCAACCACCUGACUGGAACUUGACCUUGGAAAUCAUGUGUGACGCUAGUGAUUAUGCUGUUGGUACUGUUCUAGGACAAAGAGUUGAUAAGAAGUUGAAUGUCAUUCACUACCCUAGUAAAACUCUAGACAGUGCCCAAAGAAACUAUGCCACUACGGAGAAGGAAUUUUUAGCAGUCGUGUUUGCAUGCGAAAAGUUGAGAUCUUAUAUAGUUGACUCCAAAGUUACUAUUCACUCUGAUCAUGCUGCUAUUAAGUACCUUAUGGAGAAGAAGGACGCUAAGCCUAGGCUUAUCAGAUGGGUUCUCCUGCUACAGGAAUUUGAUUUGCACGUCGUUGACCGAAAGGGUGCUGAUAACCCUGUAGCAGAUAACUUGUCUAGGCUAGAGAAUGUCCUUGAUGACCCACUACCUAUUGAUGACAACUUUCUUGAUGAGCAAUUAAAUGUCAUCCGCACUUCACUUAGUGCAUCGUGGUAUGCCGAUUAUGCAAACUAUAUCGUAGCCAAAUACAUACCACCCAGUUUCACCUAUCAGCAAAAGCAGAAAUUCUUCUUUGAUUUGAGACACUACUUUUGGGAUGAUCAUCACCUUUAUAAGGAAGGAGUAGAUGGUGUUAUUAGACGUUGUGUGCCUGAACAUGAACAGGGACAAAUCCUGCAGAUGUGUCAUUUCGAAGCCUACGAAGGACACCAUGCUGGAGAUAGAACUGCCCAUAAGGUAUUGCAAACAGGUUUCUAUUGGCCCACUCUCUUCAAGGAUGCUCGUAGGUUUGUCUUGUCUUGUGACGAAUGCCAAAGAAUAGGGAACAUCAGUAAGCGUCGGGAAAUGCCUAUGAACUACUCACUUGUCAUUGAACCAUUUGAUGUCUGGGGCUUUGAUUAUAUGGGACCCUUCCCGAGUUCCAAUGGGUACACUCACAUCUUAGUUGCUGUGUAUUACGUUACUAAGUGGGUAGAAGCUAUCCCCACUAAAAAUGCUGAUCACCACACCUCUAUUAAGAUGCUUAAAGAAGUCAUUUUCCCAAGAUUUGGAGUCCCUAGGUACUUGAUGACUGAUGGCGGUUCACACUUCAUUCAUGGUGUUUUCCACAAGAUGAUAGCUAAGUAUGAUGUCAACCAUAGAGUUGCAUCUCCUUAUAAUCCUUAGUCUAGUGGUCAAGUUGAGUUGAGUAAUAGGGAGAUCAAGUUGAUCUUACAAAAGAUCGUCAACAGAUCUCGAAAGAACUGGUCUAGCAAACUCGACGAUGCACUAUGGGCUUAUAGGACUGCUUAUAAGAAUCCCAUGGGCAUGUCACCGUAUAAAAUGGUUUACGGUAAGGCCUGUCAUUUACCUCUUGAGCUGGAACACAAAGCUUAUUGGGCAAUCAAAGAGCUCAAGUUUGAUUUCAAACUUGCCGGUGAGAAGCGGUUGUUUGAUAUCAUCUCGUUAGAUGAAUGGAGAACCCAGGCAUAUGAGAAUGCCAAGUUGUUCAAGGAAAAGGUUAAGAGAUGGCACGACAAACGAAUACAGAAACGAGAGUUCAAUGUAGGUGAUUAUGUCUUGCUAUACAAUUCUCGUUUGAGAUUCUUUGCAGGCAAGCUUCUCUCUAAAUGGGAAGGUCCCUAUGUUAUCGAGGAAGUAUAUCGUUCCGGUGCCAUCAAAAUCGAUAACACGGAAGGAAAUUUUCCUAGAGUGGUAAAUGGGCAAAGAAUCAAGCAUUACAUCUCUGGUACUCCCAUAAAUGUUGAGACCAAUAUCAUCAAUGUCAUAACUCCAUAGGAGUACAUAAGGGAUGUUUAUCAGCAUGUUUCAGACCUUGAAAACGAAGAUGUAUCUGUUUUGGUAAGAAAUUGGACUCCGAUACUUUUCCAAUAGGAAAUUUCUUCCGUUUUGGAAUUUUUGGAAAAUUAGAAAAAUAAAAAGCAGUCUGUAGAGCGAACGAGGCGGGCACAAGCCCUGCCACCGCCCCUACCCCCUGGUGGCGGAGGGCAAGCUUGUGGGCACCUCAUGUGCCUCCCGGACUCCGUUUUCUUGCGGAGGACUCCUUCUGGCCCAGAAAAAAAUCAAUAUAUAGUCGCCCGAAGGUUUUGAUCUCCGUAUCGCGUAGUUUUCCUCUGUUUUCGUUUAAAGCUUGUUGUCUGCCGCAUAUUUAGAGCAAAGAUGUCUCAGGAAUCUGUUGGGGAGAAUGAUCUUCACCAAGUUCAUGAGGAAGUAGAUGCUGAUAUGAAAAGAGUAGAAGUCACGGAAUCUAGGGACCAAGCUACGGAGAAAACCCAAGCUAGGGAGGAAGUUCAACCUAUGUUCAACAUUGAAGACAUGGAAGGAGUAUAUUUUCUCCAACCCUUCCUCCACGUGCUGUCUCCAUCCUUGAUUGAACUCUUGAGGUUUUGCGAAACAACUCGUGCUCGCAAUAUUUCUCUUUCUCGUGAAGUUGUUUUGCUGGAAAACCAUGUCACAUAUCUCAAAGGUAUAAAUCAAAGAUUGAUAGCUCUCUUGGAAUCAAAGGCGAUAACUCCACCACCAUCACCACUAAAGGAAGACAACUAAGCAUUGGUAUGGGCAAUCCCCUUGGCUUCUGCCAAGCUUGGGGGAGUUGCCCUGGUAUCGUAUCACCUUUAUAUCUUUUGCUUUUACCUUUGUUUUAGUUCUUUCCUUUUCAGUUUUUAUUUCUUCUCUUAGAGGAAUAAGUCUUGUGUUUUUAGUUUGAGUCUUUUGCUUUUGUCUCUCUUCCGAUGUAUUUGAGCUCGCGAGCUAUAUAAUAAAGAGUAUCUUAGUCAAGGGCUUUGCUUUGUGCCUUGAUCAAAAGUAUGAAAAGAACGAUAGCAUGAAAGAUCAUGAGACGAUCUUAUGGAAAGUGAUAACUUCACUUGUGACACGUAUGAUGAUUGAAACUUGUUGAGAAUAAAUCAACAUAUACCUUAGUCAUUGUUGUAAUUAAUAAGAAGUAAUAACGAAAGAGAGGUUCACAUAUAAUAUAUCAUCUUAGACACUUUUUUACAAUUGUGAGCACUCACCAAACUAUUACAUGCUUAGGAGCAGAUGUUGGACAAGGAAGACAACAUAAUGAAUUGUGUUUGCUUGGUUCCAAACAAUGUUAUAUGAUUAGAGAUCCCUUAGCAUGUGACGAUUGCUUCCACCUUAUAUUAGCCAAAACUCCCGCACCAAGUAGAGAUACUACUUGUGCAUCCAUAAACCUCCAACCAGUUUUGCCAUGAGAGUCCACCAUGCCUACCUAUGGAUUGAAUAAGAUCCUUCAAGUAAGUUGUCAUCGGUGCAAGCAAUAAAAAUUGCUCUCUAAUAUGUAUGAUCUAUUAGUGUGUGGAAAAUAAGCUUUGUACGGACCUGUGAUGAGGAAGACAUAAAAGCAAUAGACUGCAUAAUAAAGUUCUUUAUCACAGGAGGCAAUAUAAAGUGACGUUCCUCCGCACUAAGAGGACACGCAUUCAAACCUCAAAAGCGCAUGACAACCUCUGCUUCCCUCUGCGAAGGGCCUAUCUUGUACCUUUACUUUUUGCCCUUGUAAGAGUCAUGGUGAUCAUCACCAAUUCCCUAUUUUUGCCUUUGUCUUGGCUACCGUCACAUGUUUGGGAAAGAUCUAUACUCAUAUAUCAACUUGGAGUUGAGUACUUAUGCUUUAUUGUUGUUGACUUUACCCUUGAGGUAAACCGUUGGGAGGCAAAACUAUAAGCCCCUAUCUUCCUCUGUGUCCAGCUGAAACUUUGACACCAUGAGUACCACGUGAGUUGUAACAAUUGUGGAAAACAAAAGAGAUGAUUGAGUAUGUGGGUUUGCCUUACAAGCUCUUAUUUGAUUCUUUCUGAUGUUGCGAUAAAUUGCAAUUGCUUCAAUGACUAUGGACUAUUGUUGGUGACUUCUCGGUAAGGUUUUUGCUUCAUGCUUUGCUUUGUGAAGGAAUUGUUACUUUCACAUAAGAAUCUUUAUGAUGUAUCGCUGUGUGAUCAUGAUGCCCUCAUGUCCGUAUUAUGUUUUAUCGACACCUUCGACCCUCAACAUGUCGACAUGUUUAGGGAACUUGGUUUUCGCUUGAGGACAAGUGAUGUCUAAGCUUGGGGGAGUUGAUACGUCCAUUUUGCAUCAUGCUUUCAUGUUGAUAUUUAUUGCUUUUUGGGCUGUUAUAUUACUUGUGGUACCAUAUUUAUGCCUUUUCUCUCUUAUUUUGCAAGGUUUAUUUGAAGAGGGAGAAUUCAGGCAGCUGGAAUUCUGGACUGGAAAAGGAGCAAAUCCUAGUCCACUAUUCUGCACAUCUCCAAAUGCCCUGAAAAGUUACGUGGAUUUUUUUGGGAUUAUAUAAAAAAUACUGGGCGAAAGAACUACGGGAGGGGGGCUGCCAGGGCGCCACAAGCCCUGACACCGCCACCCCCUGGUGGCGGAGUGGGGGCUUGUGGGCUCCCUGACGGCCCACUAGCCCCCCUCUUUUGCUAUAUGAAGCGUCCUGGUCCAUAAAAAAUCAAUCGGGAGCUUUUUCGUGGUUUCGCCGCCGCCACGAGGCGGAACUUGAGCAGAUCCAAUCUAGAGCUCCGGCAGGACGAUCCUGCUGGGGAAACUUCCCUCCCGGAGGGGGAAAUCAUCACCAUCGUCAUCACCAACACUCCUCUCGUCGGAGGGGAGGCAUCUUCAUCAACAUCUUCAUCAGCACCAUCUCCUCUCCAAUCCCUAGUUCAUCUCUUGUAACCAAUCUUCGUCUCGCUACUCCGAUUGGUACUUGUAAGGUUGCUAGUAGUGUUGAUUACUCUUUGUAGUUGAUGCUAGUUGGAUUACUUGGUGGAAGAGUUUACGUUCGGAUCCUUGAUGCUAUUCAUUACACCUUUGAUGAUGAUUAUGAUUAUGUUUUGUGAGUAGUUACUUUUGUUCCUGAGGACAUGGGAUAAGUCAUGUUAAUAAUAGUCAUGUGAAUUUGAUAUUCGUUCGGUAUUUUGAUAUGCUGUAUGUUGUCUUUUCCUCUAGUGGUGUUAUGUGAACGUCGACUACAUAACACUUCACCAUAUUUGGGCCUAGAGGAAAGCAUUAGGAAGUAGUAAGUAGAUGAUGGGUUGCUGGAGUGACAGAAGCCUAAACCCCAGUCUAUGCGUUGCUUCGUGAGGGGCUGAUUUGGAUCCACUAGUUUAAUGCUAUGGUUAGACUUUGUCUUAAUUCUUCUUUUGUAGUUGCAGAUGCUUGCGAGAGAGGUUAAUCAUAAGUGGGAUGCUUGUACAAGUAAGGGCAGUACCCAAGCGCCGGUCCACCCACAUAUCAAACUAUCAAAGUAACGAACGCGAAUCAUAUGAACAUGAUGAAACUAGCAUGACAGAAAUUCCCGUGUGUCCUCGGGAGCGUUUUUCCUCCUAUAAGACUUUGUUCAGGCUUGUCCCUUGCUACAAAAGGGAUUGGGCCACUUGCUGCACCGUUGCUACUACUUCUUACUUGAUACUUUUUGCUCGCUACGUUUCACCUCACUACACCAUCAGUUGUUACCUCUACUUUCAGUGCUUGCAGUUAUUACCUUGACGAAAUCCGCUUAUCAGAGCCUUUUACUCCUCGUUGGGUUCGACACUCUUACUUAUCGAAAGGACUAUGAUUGAUCCCCUAUAUUUGUGGGUCAUCAAGUAUCUAGGUGACAUUAGGGUCUUGGUUGAUAUGUAUCUUAAGGUGUUAUUCUAGUACGAACUCUUGAAUAGAUCGAUCAGAAAGAAUAACUUUGUGGUGGUUUCGUACCCGACAAUAAUCUCUUCGUUUGUUCUCUGCUAUUAGUGACUUUGGAGUGACUCUUUGUUGCAUGUUGAGGGCUAGUUAUAUGAUCCAAUUAUGUUAUCAUUGUUGAGAGAACUUCACUAGUGAAAGUAUGAACCCUAGGCCUUGUUUCCACGCAUUGCAAUACCAUUCGUGCUCACUUUUUUUACUAGUUACCUUGCUGUUUUUGUAAUUUCAGAUUACAAAAACCUAUAUCUACCAUCCAUAUUGCACUUGUUUCACCAUCUCUUCGCCGAACUAGUGCACCUAUAAAACUUACCAUUGUAUUGGGUGUGUUGGGGACACAAGAGAGUCUUUGUUGUUUGGUUGCAGGGUUGCUUGAGAGAGACCAUAUUCAUCCUACGGCUCCCGCGGAUUGAUAAACCUUAGGUCACCCACUUGAGGGAAAAUUGCUACUGUUCUACAAACCUCUACACUUGGAGGCCCAACAACGUCUACAAGGAGAAGGUUGCGUAGUAGACAUCAAGCAUUUUUCUGGCGCCGUUGUCGGGGAGGCUAGGUAAGAGGCACUAACAUCCCGUCAACGAAGCAUUUUCGGGGAGGUUAGCGCUUGAAGGUAUAUCUUUAGAUCUUGCAAUCGAAUCUUUUUGUUUCUUGUUCUUUAGCUAGAAAACUACCAAAAAAUGGAAUUGAGGAUGCCUCAUAUGCUCCAUCUUUUUAAUGUCUUUCGUGAGCAUGAUGGGAAGGAAAAUUGUGCUCAAGUGCUGAAAUAAGAAUUACAUAGAAUGCUUGGCAUAGAAUAUGUGAAUGAUGAGCAUGAUUGCAAUGUUGUUAGCACAAAUUCUUUGAAUACCCAUGAUGCUAAUGAUAUGCAAAGCCACAAGCUUGGGGAUGCUAUAUUUGAGGAAGAUGAUCUUUUUAGUUCUUCCACUUUGAAUGAUCAAAAUCAUUUUGAUGAAAGCAUGCCCCCUAUCUAUGAUGAUUAUUGUGAGGAUACUUAUGCUUUGAAGAAGAGGGAUGAUAAAUAUUGUCAUACUUUCGAAAACCCCUUUGCUAAACCUUGCUUUUUCGUUGUGGACACAAUUUGUAGUGCUCAAGUCUUUUACGAUACUCCCACUACUAUUCUUGAGAAUAGAUUUCNNNNNNNNNNNNNNNNNNNNNNNNNNNNNNNNNNNNNNNNNNNNNNNNNNNNNNNNNNNNNNNNNNNNNNNNNNNNNNNNNNNNNNNNNNNNNNNNNNNNGCUAUCUUGCUUAAGGGUUAGGGAUGUGACAACUUUGGAGUUGGAGGGCUUCUUCAUCAUCAUCAUCGUCCCUCCAAUGACUCGUGAGUAGUUCACUUCAGACCUACGGGUCCGUAGUUAGUAGCUAGAUGUCUUCUUCUCUCUCUUGGAUCUUCAAUAGAAAGUUCUCCAUGAUCUUCAUGGAGAUCUAUCCGAUGUAAUCUUCUUUGGCUGUGUGUUUGUCGAGAUCCGAUGAAUUGUGGAUUUGUGAUCAGAUUAUCUAUGAUAUAUAUUUGAGUCUUUGCUGAUUUCUUAUAUGCAUGAUUUGAUAUCCUUGUAAGUCUCUCUGAGUCUUGGGUUUUGUUUGGCCAACUAGAUCUAUGAUUCUUGCAAUGGGAGAAGUGCUUGGUUUUGGGUUCUACCAUGUGGUGACCUUUCCCAGUGACAGUAGGGGCAGCAAGGCACACAUCAAGUAGUUGCCAUCAAAGGUAAAAAGAUGGCGGAUUUAUCAUUGGUUUGAGAUUAUCCCUCUACAUCAUGUCAUCUUGCUUAAGGCGUUACUCUGUUCUUAUGGACUUAAUACACUAGAUGCAUGAUGGAUAGCGGUCGACGUGUGGAGUAAUAGUAGUAGAUGCAGAAAGUAUCGGUCUACUUGUUUCGGACGUGAUGCCAAUAGAAACAAUCAUUGCAUAGAUAUCGUCACGACUUUGCGCGGUUCUAUCAAUUGCUCGACAGUAAUUUGUUCACCCACCGUCUACUUGCUUUCAUGAGANNNNNNNNNNNNNNNNNNNNNNNNNNNNNNNNNNNNNNNNNNNNNNNNNNNNNNNNNNNNNNNNNNNNNNNNNNNNNNNNNNNNNNNNNNNNNNNNNNNNGACUAGGUAUUCGAACCCCAUACAUAUCAAGUAUGACACACGUACGCAUGGCAUACCGAUAUGUAUAGAUUCAUCGAUGGCAUCACAACAUAACCAUAAACAUACAACCUUUAUUCAAGAGGCUCGGAAGAGCCACACACAUAAUAUUACACAUUAAGGUCUCUCGACCCAUAAUAGCAGUCAUACAAAUACAAGCCAGCGGAAGAGUUAUAGACUGUCUGGGUACAGACAAUGCAACUAGAAGGCACAUGGCCUGACUAUACUACAGAGCCGACAUAGGGCCAGAUCGUAGCUGGGACACCAGCUACUCGUCGUCGUCGAUGUCUACGAAGAACCCUCCAUUAGGGUCAUUAGCAACCUCUGCAACAUUUAUUAAGCAAACAUGAGUACGAAGGUACUCAGCAAGACUUUAGGAGAACUAACUACUCAUGCAAGGUAUCAAAAGGUAUUGUGGGGUUUCAUGCGGGAAGCCAGCAUUUGACUCGUGGCUAGACAACUUGCAUUUUGAAAUUAGUUUUGACAACUUGAUUUCUCGCACACGAGUCCACUAACACCACAGCAAUACACUAUCGUGGAAUCAUUCCGUCUCCAUACGGAAAUGCCGUCCACGACACUCACGCUUAUCUUGCCCAUUUUAUGAGUAGCCAUUGAAGUUAUCUAUGAACAACAUAUGUCUCCAAGUAGUCCAUAUCCGCGGACGCGGCUAUUCGAAUAGAUCAUAACCCUGCAGGGGUGUACUUCGUCACACACGCUCUCGCCACUUAUCGCUAUGUGCACGUCAUGCACCUCGGCAACCUUCAAGCGGAAGCCCAGCGAGGGAGUCGGCCACGACCGUUAACCACACCAGUACCUAGUCCAGGUUUAUCGCCUAUCUGAGAGUAACCCGUACGAAAGUCCGGCCGGGGAUUCCGCCACGGCCUCAAACGAUGUGCGCAGGGUUCCCAAGCCCACCAUCCAGGUGCCACUUGGUACACCGUGCCACUGCCUACCGCAUCACGGCCCACCUCUCAGGUCAGCACCAUGCACGGCCUCCAGCAUUACUAUAAACACCAGAAACUACUUGCAACUCCUGGACCGAGUACUACGCGAUUAAUAGGCCGAGCGGGGUCAUAUUUCAGGGCCCAGCAUGUGGUAGUAUCUAGUCUUGGAUUACAUACACGGAACUCAGUUCCUAAGGACGGUUCCAAUGAAACAACCCGCCAUGUACUCCUACACAGCCUUUCACCGGCACCUUUACCAAAUCAAGUUCAACACACAACCUUUGCUCACCGAAAACAUUCCACAUUUCUGUUCAUCUCCCAGAUGACAGACCAUACACAACUCUAAGCAUAUCAUGCAUAGCAGGAUAAGGCACAUCAUAGCUCAAGCAACUACCAGGUAUGCUAGGUUGCAAGGUUCGGCUAUUUACUGUGACAAGGUUAGGUCAUGCAAAGGAAGUGGGUUCAACUAUCGUGGCAAAAGCAGUUGUAGCAUUUGAUCCUAAUGCAAUAAAUAAAUGCAGGAGCAAGAACAUGGGAAUUAUCGGGAUGAUCAAAAGGGUUGCUUGCCUUGUUGCUCAGAGGAGGAACGAUAUCCGUCAGACGGAUAUUCGGUGGAAUCCGGGGGUGCGGAGCCUACCGAAAUGAAUGGCAACAUUCAAUAACAAUCAUAUGCACUCAAAAUGAUGCAUGCGCAUGGCAUGAGAAUGCAGGGUGAUAAGUUAUUAGUUUCAACAUGUAAUAGGUUUAGAGUUGAUUUGAAUCACAUUCGAAUAGCAAUUCAAACGGGGUAUUCUCGGAUACCGGUUUAAUUGAUUCGACCUGAUGCUCAGAUCAACUUGAUGUUAACAUGCAUGAAAUGUCAUGUUAUGGUACUGAUUUGUAAUUAGGGCAGUGUGUGAUCAUUGCAUAUAUAAUGAAAUUUGAAUNNNNNNNNNNNNNNNNNNNNNNNNNNNNNNNNNNNNNNNNNNNNNNNNNNNNNNNNNNNNNNNNNNNNNNNNNNNNNNNNNNNNNNNNNNNNNNNNNNNNUGAGUACCUUCGUACUCAUGUUUGCUUAAUAAAUGUUGCAGAGGUUGCUAAUGACCCUAAUGGAGGGUUCUUCGUAGACAUCGACGACGACGAGUAGCUGGUGUCCCAGCUACGAUCUGGCCCUAAGUCGGCUCUGUAGUAUAGUCACGCCAUGUGCCUUCUAGUUGCAAUGUCUGUACCCAGACAGUCUAUAACUCUUCCGCUGGCUUGUAUUUGUAUGACUGCUAUUAUGGGUCGAGAGACCUUAAUGUGUAAUAUUAUGUGUGUGGCUCUUCCGAGCCUCUUGAAUAAAGGUUGUAUGUUUAUGGUUAUGUUGUGAUGCCAUCGAUGAAUCUAUACAUAUCGGUAUGCCAUGCGUACGUGUGUCAUACUUGAUAUGUAUGGGGUUCGAAUACCUAGUCGUGAACUUUAGUAGCACUCCUUACAAGGAAAUGCCCCUUUGUGAUCCAACGAGCCUUGGUAGUCCGCUACUGCUCCGGACACAUUGGUUGACCGGCAUGUGUCCUUCUUAGCUGUUGUGUCCGUCCUCUUUGGGGAAAUGUCACGCGACGUAAUGGAGUCCUUGUAGCUUGCUACGACUCGUCUACGUUCGCUGAUGACCGACACCUGCUUUGUUGGGUCAUGUAUGCCCGUCCUUGUGCGGAACUGCCACUUUGAUUUAUGACUAGACAUGUCGAUGCGGGUUCUUUGACAUUGGAUUGCUAGCGACACCUAUCGCAUACGUGAGUCAAAAGACGCAAACGGUCCCGGCUAAGGUAAAGCUGCAGCCGUGGAGUUAACCGUGCGUGAGACCACAAAGAGAUGCGAUGUGUUACAGGCUGGAUUCCUAUGGCUUAGGAUCGGGGUCCCGACAGCGUUGGUAUCAGAGCCUGACUGACUGUAGGAUUACUAAGCCAAACUGGUCAAAGUUGAGUCUAGAAUUGCUUUAGUUAUAUAUAAGGGAAUUGUUUGUGGAAGGGAACGUAAGACUCUUGUUCUCUUCUCAAGUUAUUCUAUUCUGGUCAUCCUCGUCUCUUCUGCGGGAAUUAAGGACUAGGUUACUCAUCUUCUCCUAGGCUCGUGUUUCCAAUCGGUAGCUUAUAGGACUACGGGUCGAGAGAUAUUGGGUUUCUUUUAUUCCUAGGAAGCAGGAAGUAAGUUUGGUGACCAGAGAGUUGAACUUGAUAGUUGAGUGGUUACGCUAUUCCAUUUUGGGUUGUCUCAAAUUUGUUUUGAGCAUUUACAGCCGUUAUGCUGCCCAAUUUUGCAUUCAGAGCUCUAAUGCUUUUGCAUUACUCUCUAUUUACAGAUGUCUGGCCGUCCUUCCCGUCAGGUGGUACGUCUGACCAGGUGCAUUGAUGUACCGGGUCAUACGGCCAUGCUGGUCAGGGUGAUGUCGGUGUGCGGUUACCGCUGGUACCCCGAGUACACAGUGGAGGAACAGUACCGGGACUUCAACCAGAGCCAGUACAUCUGCACUGUUAGGGUAUUCCUAGACUACCCUGGAGCGGAGAAGCCAAUCCAUUGGUCCUAUGGGUUGGGGGUCACCGUUGACAUGGGAGUACAAGAUGCUGCCUAUUCAAUGCUGACUAUUAUGAGAGCGAGACAUGCACUGCUGCAGAAUUCAGAGUUCUGCUAUGUUCCGGCCUCUCAGUCUGGUGAAGAGGGAUACCUCAGUGGACUCUAUUUUGAUUCUUCUAUGGAGGAUCCACUUCUGCAGACCACUGUUGAGAUGCUAGAGAACAGAGACAACGAUGCUCGUGCUCUCCGCAUGGAGCUUUAUGCUACUCGUGCCCGUCUGUGGACAGCUUUGACGCAGCUAGCACCGGUAGUCCAGACAGGGUAUGGAGAGAUGGAGAUGCUGAACCCUGUUAGGACCCAUCUUCCGGCUCACGUUGACUGGCCAGCUAUAGGAGGAGUCACACCUCUUCGGAGACCCCUCUUACCACCAGUCAGGGGACCAAGGCCACAUCCGUGUCCUUAUGGAUCCCAGGGGUCUCAGGCUAGAGUGUUUCCUGAUCCGCAGGUUGAGCUUCCAGGUCAUGGAGGUAAUCUCUAUGAGAUGUUCUAUGCGGAUGCCUGAGCUGUGAGCGGAAGGAUAGUAUGGUAGUAGUCGUACGUUCAAAGUCCUGCGUGACUUGUGAAGUAUGGUAGUAAUGUGAAAUGAAUUCCAGAGGCCUAGAUAAAUAAUGUAUAGGAAGCUUGUAAGCCUCUGAUGAGUAGUUCCACCAUUUCAGUAGUUUGCUCUUCGGGUAAGUUUGUACUGAACUAUGUAAGGGUGUGUAUGAACCAUGGUGUAUAUAUAGCAGUUGCUUGUUACCAUGUUGUUCGGAUAUUCAUUUCCGCAUUCCGUGUGUUCAGUACAUUCUUAAUCCAUAGCUAGUAUUGAUAUGAUAUUGGUCUAAGCUAUGAGUUUGUUUGUCAGGAUGGUGUUCACCAGGUUGAACCGUGCCCCUGCUCAUGAGCAAGGUGAGGGUAGUCAAGCGUCGCAGGAAGACCUGCCUCACCCACCUUCUCUGGUAGAAGUGAUGCUUGAGGCAGAAAGAAACAAAAGGGAGACCAACCGACUGCUAGAGCGUAUUGAGCAGAAUACGGNNNNNNNNNNNNNNNNNNNNNNNNNNNNNNNNNNNNNNNNNNNNNNNNNNNNNNNNNNNNNNNNNNNNNNNNNNNNNNNNNNNNNNNNNNNNNNNNNNNNUGCCCCAACGGCUCCCCCACGCGGCGCGCCCCGUGGGCAUCGUCGUACUGCUCCAGCUGUGGAGCCGCCCGCACCGGCCUCCCCCGCAACGGGGGAAUCGCCGAUCCCGGAGGCUUCUCCGCUAGUUGCCCCGGGCGUCUCGGCCCCGUCUCCUGCACCACCGGGCCCCGCUCCUGUCGGCACGACGCCUCCACCACCUGCUGCCCCCGUGCCCAGUACGGGGCCGGCCUCUCCCUCAACUGCCCCACCUGCUGCCCCCGUACACUUCGGAGUGCUUACCCGUGCGCGCGCGGGUGUCCAUCGACCCAGCCAGAGGUACUCCUCCAACGAGUACGUCUGCACUGCCACCACGACGGCUCCUUCGCCGCUCCCUGCGUCCGUCCACUCGGCGCUCCGGGACCCUCACUGGCGCGCCGUCAUGCAAGACGAGUACGACGCGCUACUGAGGAAUCGCACCUGGCAGCUGGGUCGUUCGCGGCUUCCGGCAACGGGCUGGUCUCGACUUGUGACAGCCCAAGUGCAAUCUCCCCUCCCCUUUUGUAUCCUCCUUGUAUGGCAACCUUGGCAUGUUGGUGUGAUGUGGGGUGAGCCUAACUUUGUGUCAUCAUUUCAUGUGCAUCAUGCCUUCUUGCAUUGCAUUCUUUCCCUUUUGUUGUGGUUGUGUUGAUGUGGGUGUCCUUGUUGUGAUGUGCAAGUGUUGUGUUGAUGUCCUUAGUGAUUGUUUAGGUGUGGGGGCAACAAGUGCAUGUCAAAACCCACAUGUUGCUCCAUAAGGAGAAAACCCUUCUCUCUCUAUGUUAAUUUGUGGCAGGUUUAAAAGGCUUUGUUUCUCCAUUUAAAAAAAUGUUCAUCUUUCCCUAAAAAAAAUCCUUUUCAUUUUGUGGAGGCAACCCCUCUGGUUUCUACUUUACUUUCCUUCUUAUCUUAUUUAAAAAAUCAAAGCCCAUUUAAAUUAGAUGAAUAUAAUUUUGGACUUCUAAAAAUGUUCCACUUAUUUUUAUAAACAGUGGCAACANNNNNNNNNNNNNNNNNNNNNNNNNNNNNNNNNNNNNNNNNNNNNNNNNNNNNNNNNNNNNNNNNNNNNNNNNNNNNNNNNNNNNNNNNNNNNNNNNNNNGGGGUUGUCAAUCCCUUAUAGAUUGUUUGCCAAGUGAGAACUGAAAGCAACAAAGUAACAAAUCAAAGUAAAAGCGGAGGUGUAAACGAUGGAUGUGAAUAGACCCGGGGGCCGUAGUGUUUACUAGUGGCUUCUCUCAUGAAAGCAAGUAGACGGUGGGUGAACAAAUUACUGUCGAGCAAUUGAUAGAACCGCGCAAAGUCGUGACGAUAUCUAUGCAAUGAUUGUUUCUAUUGGCAUCACGUCCGAAACAAGUAGACCGAUACUUUCUGCAUCUACUACUAUUACUCCACACGUCGACCGCUAUCCAACAUGCAUCUAGUGUAUUAAGUCCAUAAGAACAGAGUAACGCCUUAAGCAAGAUGACAUGAUGUAGAGGGAUAAUCUCAAACCAAUGAUAAAUCCGCCAUCUUUUUACCUUUGAUGGCAACUACUUGAUGUGUGCCUUGCUGCCCCUACUGUCACUGGGAAAGGUCACCACAUGGUAGAACCCAAAACCANNNNNNNNNNNNNNNNNNNNNNNNNNNNNNNNNNNNNNNNNNNNNNNNNNNNNNNNNNNNNNNNNNNNNNNNNNNNNNNNNNNNNNNNNNNNNNNNNNNNUCACGAGUCAUUGGAGGGACGAUGAUGAUGAUGAAGAAGCCCUCCAACUCCAAAGUUGUCACAUCCCUAACCCUUAAGCAAGAUAGCAUUGUGCUCAUGUCUUCUUUGCAUUUGCAUCUAAGAAGUUUCAACAAAAACAACAAAGUGGCAAAGGAAAAACUCAAAACCCUAGCCACCAUUUCAAAUUAAAGGAAAUCUCAAACUAGUUCAAAAUCAAUGAACCCAAAAUGGCCUCAAGAAAUGUUCAAACUUUCUGAUAAAUCAUGAAAGUAAAUGAGCAUUGGAGAAAACUAUUUUCUUGACACUUUAAGCUUUUUAAAUUAAUGCAAAAGCCACUGGUUUCAAAUUUAAAAUUUGAAAUCAGAAACUAUAAUUUUCCAAAAAUGUUGAAAACCUUGGAAAUGGUUGGGGAUAUUAUAACAAAUAUUUCAGGAGGUCUAAAAUAGUUUUUACUUUUUGUUUUGGAGCUGAAUUAAUUAGCAAAACAAUAAUUAGCAAAACAGAAAAACAAAAACAGAAAAAUAAGGAAAAACCUUACCUGUCGCCUAAGCCUGGCCCGGCCCAUCCCUGGCUCGUCCCCUCCCUCGCACCAGUAGGCAGCAGGAGGUGGUCGCCGCCCCCUCCGGCGCGGCCACGCACCUGCGUGCCUGCCUGGCCGCCGCCUCGCGCUGGCGACGACGGGGAUAAGCUCCCCAGAGCCUCCCCUAUCCAUUCCCCGCCUCGGUUCUCUUCCUCCACCCGGAUCUCUUCCUCCUCCCCGCUGCCGCCAUUGGAGCCGAGCUCGAGCUCGAGCUGCCCGUGCCCCUAGCCUUAGGAUCCCCUCCCAGAGCAUGCCAUUAGCGCCGCCUCGUCGCCCUGGUCAUCUCUACAGAAGCCGAAGCUUCCUCGAGCCCUGCAACGCCCGCAACGCCGUCGUCUUCCACCUCCGGCCGCCGGACCUCUCCCGUCGAUUCGCUUCCUCCGGCGCAUCCCCGAGCCCCUCUUCAGCACCAUCGGAACGGCCGUGAGCUCGUCGUCGUUUCCCCUCUCGCCCCACGCUCUCCCGUGCAUCGUAUCCUAGUUCCCCACCAAGGCCGAGAGCUUCUCGCCGCCGGCCAUGUCGCUGUCGUCGUUGUGAUGACUGAUCCACGCGCCCGAGCUAGGAUUCGAGCUCCUGGAGCCUCCAGGAGCGUGCCGAGCCCUCCAGCUGCCCUCCCCGUGCCCUAGAACCGCCCCUCAUAGAAGGCCGAGCUUCGGCCGCCGCUCCGGCUCAUCGCCGACGCCUCUUCCGGCGACCCUAGCCUCCCCAGAUGGUCCUGCCAGAUCGGCCACUUCGCGAGCAUGCUGUAGCUGCAAACCGCGUGCGUUUUGGUGUUGUGCAGCGCCGUCUAGGUCGCCUCCGGCGAGCCCUCCGCCGCGGGCCUGGUCGCCGGCGACCACCCUCCGGUGGGGGUCGACGUGGCAAGCUAACCCAGCAGCUUAGGGACCUAAUCACUCGCUGACAAGUGGGCCCAAGGCCAAGUCAAACCUCAGUUAGGGCUGGUCAGCGUGGGAUUAGUCCCAGAGAGGCUGUCCAGUGGGGCCCCCCUGUCAGGUUUGACCUGAACAAGUCGGCUGACCUGCUGAUGUGAGCCUGAGGCAAUAAAUAGAAUUUCCAGUAUAAAACUAAUUCAGGAAAUUGCUAAAAUNNNNNNNNNNCGGGAUUAGUCCCAGAGAGGCUGUCCAGUGGGGCCCCCUGUCAGGUUUGACCUGAACAGGUCGGCUGACCUGUUGAUGUCAGCCUGAGGUAAUAAAUAGAAUUUCCAGUAUAAAACUAAUUCAGGAAAUUGCUAAAAUUUGUAAAAAUCAUAGAAAUUAAUCUGUAACUCCAAUGAAAAUAAUUUAUAUAUCAAAAAGUAUCAGAAAAAUUCAAGGAUUCUGAUUAUGCUAUUUUCAACCAUGUUUAAAAAAGUUACAGAACCCUAAAUUGUGGAAUAAGGAAUAAUUCAAUUCUUUUAAUCACUUUAUAAAUGGAAUUUGCAAAAAAAUUCAAAUUUCAUUAUAUAUGCAAUGAUCACACACUGCCCUAAUUACAAAUCAGUACCAUAACAUGACAUUUCAUGCAUGUUAACAUCAAGUUGAUCUGAGCAUCAGGUCGAAUCAAUUAAACCGGUAUCCGAGAAUACCCCGUUUGAAUUGCUAUUCGAAUGUGAUUCAAAUCAACUCUAAACCUAUUACAUGUUGAAACUAAUAACUUAUCACCCUGCAUUCUCAUGCCAUGCGCAUGCAUCAUUUUGAGUGCAUAUGAUUGUUAUUGAAUGUUGCCAUUCAUUUCGGUAGGCUCCGCACCCCCGGAUUCCACCGAAUAUCCGUCUGACGGAUAUCGUUCCUCCUCUGAGCAACAAGGCAAGCAACCCUUUUGAUCAUCCCGAUAAUUCCCAUGUUCUUGCUCCUGCAUUUAUUUAUUGCAUUAGGAUCAAAUGCUACAACUGCUUUUGCCACGAUAGUUGAACCCACUUCCUUUGCAUGACNNNNNNNNNNNNNNNNNNNNNNNNNNNNNNNNNNNNNNNNNNNNNNNNNNNNNNNNNNNNNNNNNNNNNNNNNNNNNNNNNNNNNNNNNNNNNNNNNNNNAGACACAACAGCUAAGAAGGACACAUGCCAGUCAACCAAUGUGUCCGGAGCAGUAGCGGACUACCAAGGCUCGUUGGAUCACAAAGGGGCAUUUCCUUGUAAGGAGUGCUACUAAAGUUCACGACUAGGUAUUCGAACCCCAUACAUAUCAAGUAUGACACACGUACGCAUGGCAUACCGAUAUGUAUAGAUACAUCGAUGGCAUCACAACAUAACCAUAAACAUACAACCUUUAUUCAAGAGGCUCGGAAGAGCCACACACAUAAUAUUACACAUUAAGGUCUCUCGACCCAUAAUAGCAGUCAUACAAAUACAAGCCAGCGGAAGAGUUAUAGACUGUCUGGGUACAGACAGUGCAACUAGAAGGCACAUGGCGUGACUAUACUACAGAGCCGACGUAGGGCCAGAUCGUAGCUGGGACACCAGCUACUCGUCGUCGUCGAUGUCUACGAAGAACCCUCCAUUAGGGUCAUUAGCAACCUCUGCAACAUUUAUUAAGCAAACAUGAGUACGAAGGUACUCAUCAAGACUUUAGGAGAACUAACUACUCAUGCAAGGUAUCAAAAGGUAUUGUGGGGUUUCAUGCGGGAAGCCAGCAUUUGACUCGUGGCUNNNNNNNNNNNNNNNNNNNNNNNNNNNNNNNNNNNNNNNNNNNNNNNNNNNNNNNNNNNNNNNNNNNNNNNNNNNNNNNNNNNNNNNNNNNNNNNNNNNNAAGACAUAGAAACGUAUCAAUACCAUCAAAACAUAUCAAUAUAGACAUGAAAUCUAGUUUCAAAGACCUCGUCACAGCAAAUUUAAUGAUGGAAAUAGAUUUUUAAUUUGGCUUUUCGUUUAAGGGAUAAGACAUUUUGAAUUUUGAGAAAAUGAUGUUUACAUCAUCUACAUUUGUUUUCACUUGCAUGUAUGCAUGGAUGCCAUUCCGCACUUUCCCUCGUCAGGGACUGUUCGCCCAUUAUUACAGUCGAAAACUAAAACAAUGAUAUGUACUCCCUCUGUUCCUAAAUAUAAGUUUUUUAAGAGAUUUCAAANNNNNNNNNNNNNNNNNNNNNNNNNNNNNNNNNNNNNNNNNNNNNNNNNNNNNNNNNNNNNNNNNNNAAUGAUAUGUAAUUACAUACUCUUAAAAAUAAUAAUUAAAUAAAAAGACAAUCCUUGGAAAUUACCAGUCUAGUCUUAUUCUAAGACCUGACGAAACAUUAUUGAGUACCCGUCAUAUACAAGAGGAUUCGCUAGCAAAGGACUAUCAGAAAGGUUCAGGCAAUCUGCUGCCCAGGUCAUACACGAUUAUUCAUCAGGUUGGACACAAGCUAAGCUGCUUUCCUUCUGGAGAGUAAUUUGAAAAACUGUUCAAAGGCAGGGUAGAAUGAUCAUCCUUCGUGAUACACUAAACUGGAAACAAAAAACUCAGCUCGAUGCAUUUACAUGGACAGAAAUCGAAGUAUGUAACGGGUGAAGCUACCAUCAUGCCUCCAGGUCGUUCAGGUUUCUCGGAACUUUGACAAAAAGUUUUGAAACGAAGAGAAACCUUCCAUCGCAUCGUGCGGCAUGUUAAGCGUGAAAGGGGGAAGAACACUCGGACCAGCCUUCAGGUUCUUCGGGCCAGCGGCUGACGGUAGCGCAAGUGCAGGCUGCUGUCUGUUGAGCUUUUCUAUGAUGUACGAGAAAGUUCCAAAAGCCAGGCAGCUCUGAAUCAGAGUUUGCGGUGCACCU